GUUCAUGGAUUAACGAAAAUGUGCAAGAGCUCUAUUUGCCUCUGCCAUUCUAUGAGUCGCUUCCUUUUUGCGUAUGGCACCCCCACUCCCUUUGGCAGCAUCUACUAAUUCGGAACUUAAUUUGAAAGCCAUAUUUCGACCCAGACGCUUUUGGGAUGCUUCUAAUAACCAACGAAUGGCAAGUGCUCUUCCUUGUUUAGAUCCUAUUUCAAUCGGAACUUUCCGCGUCGAUCCUUUUUUAUUACGUCUUGUUUUUACUCCUAUAUUGGGAGUUACUCUACGUAUUGCUUGACGUAAAACCAAUAGUGGAUUUGUUUCUGUCUUUUGUUGAAUCUUUUUCACGGCUCGAUAGAGAAUUUGAUAAGCCAAUGAUUUUUUUCCGUCUUUCAUAAUACGGUUAACCACCAUGUUAACUAAUCAAUUACGAAAAAUUGGAUCGGAUUUUGCGGUUCUUUUUUCUGCAGUACCUCGACGUGACAUGAGCGUGAAAGAGGUUCAAGAAUCUGUUUUCUUUUUAUAAGGGCUCAAUGGGAAAGAGCCCUAAUUCGAUAUGGAGUGGGAUAGUUGGUAUUGGCAAGGUGUACGCAAUGAAAAGUAUCUAAUCAAUAUCGGGUAUGCUUAUGAGCUAUUGUGCAUUUCACCCUGCCUUCACUUCGUUGACUUCCGUGUUCCUGUACCGGCUAGUUCGUUGACUUCCGUAGCCGAGGGGUUGGGGUUAAACAGGAGUCGUUAGGGUUACGGCUACCCACCUAGACGAAUACCUUUGCCUUUGCUCUAGCGCUAGGAAUCGUAGUCCUCGUAGGAAUCCUAAAACGAAUGUUUAAUUUCUUUAAGCCGUCCCCGUAAAAUUGUUCUUCAUUAUCGUUUAGGAUGUAGAUCCUAUUCUGUUCACUAUCCUUUAUGUAAUGACGCCUAAAGAUAGAGAGGGCCAGUGAAGAGAUUAUCUUUACUGCAAUUCCAUUCAAUUUGAUAGGGGACUACCCAAUAAUAGAGCGCCAGUAUGCUUAUGGACGGAGCCUGAGAGCGGCGGAAUGUUGAAGCUUAUGUGGAUGACGUCGUCGUCAAGACCAGGAUGUCCAGCGACUUAAUUGCGGAUUUGGAGGAAACAUUUAGCAGCCUGCGCAGAUUUCGGUGGAAACUCAAUCCCACCAAGUGCGUCUUCGGAGUACCUUCAGGGAAAUUGCUCGGGUUCAUCAUCAGCAACCAAGGCAUUGAAGCUAACCCUGUAAAGAUCACGGCCAUCUCUGAUAUGGAGGCUCCGGCCACAAUCAAGGAUGUGCAGAAGUUAACAGGUUGUAUGGCGGCCCUGAACAGGUUCAUCUCCCGACUCGGGGAGAGAGGACUACCUUUCUUCAAGCUCCUGAAAUGCCAAGAUAAGUUCCAAUGGACGGAGGAGGCUGAGUGGGCCCUGCAGGAUCUGAAACAUCAUCUUCAGUCACCUCCGAUCCUUACAGCACCGUUGCCAGGGGAGGAUCUACUACUUUACAUCGCGGCAACAACUCAUGUUGUCAGCAGUGCUAUUGUAGUCGAGCGAGGCGAGGACGGCCAUGCGUUUGGAGUGCAGAGUCCUAUCUACUUCAUCAGCGAAGUCCUCUCCGAAUCCAAGAUACGGUAUCCAGCUGUUCAAAAACUUUUAUACGCAAUCUUAAUCACAUCAAGAAAGCUACGCCAUUACUUCGACGAGUACAAGAUUACUGUGAUCACGGAUUUCCCGUUGGGGGAUAUUCUUCAUAAUCAAGAUACCACGGGGCGCAUAUCCAAGUGGGCCGUGGAACUGGGGGCUUUGUCAAUUGACUUCAAGCCACGCACGGCAAUCAAGUCACAGGCUCUAGUCGACUUCAUGGCUGAAUGGAGGGAGAAUCAAGUCCCAACUCCAGUGGACAAGACAGAGCACUGGACCAUGUAUUUUGAUGGGUCCCUCAAGCUCGACGGCGGCAGCGCUGGUGUUCUGCUUAUUUCUCCACGAGGUGACCAAUUGAAAUAUGUCCUUCAGAUCCUGUGGGCAGUAUCCAACAAUGAAGCUGAGUAUGAAGCCUUGCUUCACGGCCUUCGUUUGGCGAUAUCACUAGGGAUCAAGCGACUACUUGUAUAUGGCGAUUCUCUUCUUGUUGUUCAGCAGGUCAACAAGGAAUGGGACUGCAACAAGGAUACGAUGGACGCUUAUGUACAGGAAGUGCGCAAGUAGGAAAGCAAUUUCUCUGGCUUGGAGAUUCAUCACGUAUUGCGGGAGCACAACGUUGGCGCGGAUAUCCUGUCCAAACUGGGGUCCACGCGUGCUCAGGUUCCGCCGGGAGUCUUUGUCCAGGAGCUCAAGCAGCCAUCCAUCAAGUCUUCUCCGUAGGUAACCAUCGACGCAGGUCCCCAACAACCCGAUCGAGAGGUUAUGGUGCUGGGGGAGGACUGGCGAGAGGCUUUUAUCGACUUCAUUCGAGAUCAGCGGCUACCAGCAGGGAUCGACGCCAAGAGCACGGAGGCAGCACGUGUCUUGCGAAGAAGCAAGGGCUUCAUCCUGGUCGACGGCAAGCUCUAUCGGCGCGGCGCUCGGUCAGGAGUUCUCAUGAAGUGCGUAACAACGGAAGACGGUUACAACAUACUGCCGGAGAUCCACGAGGGCAUCUGUGGAAACCAUGCGGCUUCAAGAACGCUGGUGGGGAAAGCAUACAGGGCCGGUUUCUGGUGGCCACUGCAGUGACCGACGUGGAAGAUCUCGUGCGCAGGUGCCAAAAUUGUCAAUUCUUCGGCAAACAGACUCAUGUUCCAGCUCAUAGCCUCAUCACUAUACCGCCAUCUUGGCCCUUUGCUUGUUGGAGUCUUGAAAUGAUCGGGCCCUUCACGACGUUGCCAGGCGGUUUUACCCAUGUUCUGGUGGCUAUUGACAAGUUUACUAAGUGGAUCGAGUACAAGCCGAUAGCCAAGCUCACGCCAGAUCGGAUCGUCGACUUCAUCUCAGAUAUUUUGCAUCGUUUCGGCUUCCCCAACACCAUCAUCACGGACUUGGGAUCAAAUUUCACGGCAAACCAGUUCUGGGAGUUUUGCGAGAACGCUUGCAUCGAAGUUAAAUACGUCUCGGUUGCACACCCAAGGGCCAAUGGACAAGUCGAAAGGGCGAACGGCUUGAUCAUUGACGGCCUCAAGAAGAGACUUUAUGAUGAAAAUAGCAAGAAGGGAGGCAAAUGGGUGCAUGAGCUGCCACACGUCGUCUGGGGGCUUCGGACUCAGCCGUCCAAAGCCACAGGUCAAACACCUUUCUUCCUUGUAUAUGGAUCUGAAGCUAUUCUACCAGCCGAUAUCAUGUGGAAGUCUCCAAGGGUCGAAAUGUACAAUGAAGGCGAGGCGGACGAGGCGUGGCAGUUAGAGCUCGAUUCUAUGGAAGAAGCUCGUUGCACCGCUCUUGUUCAGUCAGCUCGGUACCUGCAGGGGAUCCGGCGAUAUCAUGAUCGCAACGUCAGGGAGCGGUCAUUCAAUGUUGGCAAAUUGGUCUUGCAUCGUAUUCAGGACGAAUCUAGCCUACACAAGCUCAACUCAAGGUGGGAGGGCCCAUUCAUCGUCAAGCAGGUUACAAGGCCAGGGUCUUAUCGACUACAAUAUCCUGAGGGUCAGGAUGUCCCGAACUCCUGGAAUGUUCAGAACCUGCGCAAGUUCUACCCUUAAGUCGAGGCCCGGUGAUCGCUGAAUCCCCGGGGGCUCAGAAGAUCUCUUUUCCCCGAAUCAAUUUGGAGGCUAUGAGCCACAUGACUCGGUUUAUACAUUCCUUCUUACUUGCACGACGGCCAUGGUCACGUGCAAACACAUAUAUAAAUCGACUUCUCGUCGUGAAUGAUGCGGGGGCUACGGCCACGAUCAUCUCCUUGUGACUUCAGUUCCUGACGGACCCGCCGGCUCCGUCCAACUCCUCUACAUAUCGAGUCCCGCCGCGAUCAUGGAUGGUCGCACGCGACAGUAGUCGCAUUUUUUCCAACAUAGUCGAUCCGUUCGACUAGCUUACACCCAGUACGUUGGAAAGGCUCGCAUAAAGAGCUAUCUCGACUACAACCUGAGUGGCUGCACUCAGAACAGUCUUGUUUUUGCCAAAAGAACGGCAAACCCGCGACAACACCCGCACCUGCUCCUCGCAAGCUCGAUCCGUCCGUUCGGGUCCUACCUAGCUUACGGAGCAUGCUCACAGCAUGAGCGACUUUCGACUACGCUCAGAGUCGCCGCACUCGGGGUAGUCUUGUUUUUCUGCCCUGCGCACGGCAAUCUCACGACGAUGCUCGCGUUCUUUCCUAACAAGCUUAGACCCGCUCGAUCGAGUUAUGGCUAAUCUCUUAGACGAGUAUUAGCUACCCUUCGUGUCGUUGCACCCAGGAAAGCGUCUACUACUUGAGCCUUGUAAUCCUGGAUCCAAAUUCAGCUAAUGCACGCAAACAAGUAGAGAUAUCAAGUGAAGUAUUUACAUAAGGGAAUGACUACUUGUCUCUCACACCCUAAUCUUGCAGUACACUGUGUACAAUUUGUUCUGCUAUAGGUUGGGCCUCUCCCAGGUACUCAUCGAAUCGUUCAUCCGUGCAGUCCGCCGCCAUCCCCUGCGCAAAAAUGUCUACCUGCGCGUUUGGCAAGAAGGAUUUUACAUACGCGAGGGCAUUGCUAACGCAUGCGACUGGAGCCUCAGACAGGAAUUUGAGCACUUUCUUCGGGGCUUCGCGGAGUCGCCCCAGCAGAGGCCGCAGGCUCGCUUCGCCUUCUUCUGGGGGAUCCACCAUGUCCACCAGCUCCUGGCGGCCCCCCUGAGGUCCUCCAGCUCCUUCCGCUGCUGCUCGUCCUUCUUGCCCAGCGUUUUGAUUUGCUGAAGGCAGUCGACGAACUGUCGUUCAGUAUCGCCGAUCACCUUCUGCAGCCUUUCGACAUCAUUUGUACGACGAUACAGCAUAUUCUUCACGUCAGUAAGCAGCUCCUCUUUGUGUUUUAUUAUUUUCCUAAGCUCUGCGGUGAAGAUACUUCAGCGACUCAGGGAAAUUACUAAGGAAAAGUACUCGAGGUAAGCGAGGGCCUACCUUGGUGCGCUUUCUUCUCUUCCUUGAGCUGCUCCUGGUACUCCGCUUGUUGCUCCUUGAGCUAUUUUUGGAGCUCGGAGUUGGCCUUCUCGAGGUUUUUCAGGUCAUUCUUGAGUAGCCAAGUCUCUCGAGUUCUUUCCUGCUUCAGCAUGUCCAGCUCUCGCUGCAGAUAGCAAUUCUUCAUAAUUUCUUCGGAGACGCGCUUGUCCAGGGCAGCUAACUCUCGCGCAUCACUCACAACCGCGCUGAGCUUCUCCGAUUUUUUCUGGGACUUAGUGAUUACAUGCUGCGCAAAAGGCGGAGAUUGAGUCAAAACAGCUCAUCAAUAUGCACAACUGGAACAUUACCCAAGUAUUACCAUGGAAAAUCGUAUAACUCCUUGAAGGUGCUCUUGAAGGUCUUGAAAUUUUCUGCCGUCAGCAGGGGGUCGUCCACCAGGUCAGUGGUGAUGACGUUCUUGUACCCCGGCCCGGCCCUUAGUAUCUCACGGGGAUUUCUCGAGGACCCGGCGAUAUCUUCGGGCGGUGGUUGCUGGACACCUGCAAGUACACAAUGUUGUCAAUAUAUUGCGCCCAGAUCUCGGUAGCCAGCCGCGGGCAGAUAAGCGCGUACCUGUGCCAUCAGUAGGAGCGGCAUCAGGGGUUUUGACUUGUUCUCCGCCACCAGUUUUGGCUUCGUCUUGUCGGAGCUCAGGAGGCGGCAAGUCGGGGAGCGUCGCAUCUGCUUCAGGGGACAGCUCCGUGGGUACUGGUUCUCCAGGCGCCGAUGGCUCGGAGGCUGCAGCAGCUGGGGCCGGUUCCGCACCGAAAGGAUCAGUCCGGGUUGAUGGCUCUGGGGCUGCAGUAGCCGUGCCCGGGUCCACCUGAAGCUGCACCACGCUUGCAGCCCUGAUGAUGUCGAAGUCGUUGUUAUACAAGCUGGCAAGAGCAAGAUUUUUAUGCGACCGGAGGUAAACUCACAGUGUAGACUUUUUUUUGGCGGCCUUUUUCACCCGCAAAGCCCGUCGCAGAAUCCCUGUUGCUGGCGGCGAGGUUCGAUCAGCCGAUUGAGCGGUCCCCGCCACGGAAAUGGUCACUGCCGCGACGGCGGAUGGGCCUGUUUCCACCUCUUCGGGUUCGGUCUCGGGUGGCAGAGCAGGAAGACUGCAAGUGGAUACUGUCAGUAUUCAAUGCUAUUGAUACUUGGCAACUCGUCAACACAGCAAAUUAGUACCUGGAGGACUCGACUUCUUGCGCCUUGCGUUUGCGCACCAGUCGAUGGCCCUUUGGCACCAGUGGUAAUGCGCCGGUCAGCUCCACUCUUUGCUCGGAGGAGUUGUCACGACGCGCCUCUCCUUCGGCUUCCUCCCAUGCCCGAGAGCUCACGUCCUCGGCGGACCCGCUGCUACGUUGAGCUGCAGCAACGCGAGCUCUCUUGGCCUCAACGGCGGCACUGGGGAGGAGGUGGUCUGGUCGGGGGAUGUCCGGUCGCGGCGGGUAGCUACGGUACAGCUCCGUGUGUCCCUGCAGGAGGUUCUUCAGUUAAGUAAUGUAGCAACAGAGGUUGUCUUCAGCAAAAGAAGUCGAAUACUUACUGGUUUGGGCGGAUUUCGUGCUGAAAAUAAUGUUGGCACGUAUGGCACGGCGUCCACGUCCAUCAGCACCCGCUGAACUCGAUGGAGUGCGGCUUCGUCGGACAACUCCUCUGCGCACAUGCGAGAGGAAUCUUCAGCACCUAAAUCCUCAAAUCCAAAACUGUGGCAUUGUUGGAUCGGUUGGACUCGGCGUUUGAAGAAGGAGAACAUAACGGACGCGCCGGUCACUCCCGUCGUCUUGAGUGCUUCUAUGAUUGUUAAAAGCUCAUCGACUUGAUCCAGGUCUCCUCUCGUCAGUUCAUGAUUCCACUCGGCCUCACUACAGGUGGUCUGUUUGUUUUCCCAGGGAGCUGGGGGGCAUGAUUUUUAAUGUAGAACCCAUGGUUCUUCCAACCGGGGAGGUUUGAGGGGAAUUUGUAUGAAAGGUAUCUUUCGCCGGCCUGCUAUCGCAGUUGGAUGCCGGCGCCCCCUACAACAGAAAGUUUCUUCGUGGUAGGCUGGGGUUUGACGCGGAAGAGAAAGCGGAAUAGAUCCCAGUGGGGUUCGAUUCCGAGAAAGGCUUCACAGAAGUGGAUGAAAAUGGAAAUAUGGCAAAUGGAAUUAGGGUUGAGGUGAUGGAGCUCAAGCCUGUAAUAAUAAAGAAGGCCAUGAAAGAAGGAACAAGUGGGGAGGGCCAAUCCCCGUUCGGCAAAAUGGAGGAAUGUGACGAUUUCGUCGACAUUUUCCAUGGGGAAAGGUUCACGGUAAGAGGGGCGCCAAUUGACAAGGUUCUUUUCAUGCAGCAACCCCACGGAAACUAGUUUGUUCAGAUUGUUGAGGGAGCACUUACUGUGUGUCCACUCCGCGGUCGAUGGCUGCGCCUCUUUCUUCUUUUCCCCGAUCUCUGACUUCUUGGACGCCAUCUCUGAUGCGCUGGCCACGAGAUGCUCGGGGGCUGCGGGAAGAGGGGCGGGGAGGUCGGAGCAGGAGGAUUUCUUUGGGGGAUGGCGGCGGCGCUUGGUCCCGAUUGGGAAUUUCGGCGGUUCUUGGCAAAAUGCAGAUUGAACGCACAGUCUUUUCCACUAUUAUCUUGGGGUUAAAUAACCAGCGGGGUGGGGAAAGAUUACUGUUCCGAAGUCGAAGGGUCAUUUUUUGGAAUAUGCCGAAGAUGAGAGGUCAUUUGGUGGACUGUUUGGAUUAAAUAUUCGAUUAAUCAUUUUUUCAGGGCUAGUUAGCUCGAAAGAAGGGAUUUUUCGAAUUGGUGAUCUAGCUUCUAUCAUUUGUAUCAUCAUUUUGGUACUUUUUCAAGUUAUCAUUUUUAACCUGCAUGCCACGGUUUUAGAUCCUUCACUCCAUAUUCGUGGAAUUUGGAUUUAAGGCUCGGGGGCUGUGGGGUACGUGGCAUCGACUACUUAUUUUUCAAAUUUCUUUGAUGAAUAAGGAGGAUUACAGACAAAUGGGACCCUCAGCCUGAUUCUCUGAUUCAACCUAAGGCUCAGGGGCUACUCCAUAUGGAGUGCGAUUUUUAAAUCGCACACCAUAACAAAAAUUCGGGGCAUGAGCACCUCAUAGCUUCGAUGCAGCCAAGCAAAUACUCGAAGAAGGACUUCAAGACGAAGCUCCAGAAGAAGUCGAAGACUGCUUCGAAAGUACUCGAUAAGCCUGCAGUACUCAGCUACAAAGAGCUCGGGGGCUUGUCAGACCCGGGGCCACCGGGCUGGGCACAUAACGUAGUUUAAAGAGGUCUAAGAGAUUAAGUCUGUCUUAUCUCUUAUUCAUUUUGUUUAUCUUUUGUUUAUCCCGUUUAAAUAGGAGAUAGAGCUAACCAACACGGAGGGGAUCUACUCGAGAUAUGUUCUGGUAUGAUCCCUCAGCGGAGGUUGGUUAGCAUCUUUGUAACUCUGGCCUCUCGGAUAUAUAAGGGAGGUCAGGGACCCCUCUCAAAAUAAGAUCUCUAGGUCAUUCUACACCAAAGGGAAUACAAACCACCAUACAGGACGUAGGGUGUUACGCUCCGUGCGGCCCGAACCUGUCUAAGUCUUGUGUUCCUUGCACCUUCGAGUUCCUGAUCUCGGUGUCUCCUCACCCAAAACUUACCACCUUGGGUAUAUCCCUCGGUGGGCAGCCGGUUAAACACCGACAGGAUGGCAUAGGUUCUUGAAUGUCACCUUGGGCAUGAUGUUGACACUUGCUCCAAGGUCGCAAAGGGCCUACUCGAAGUGAUAGUCGCAGAUUGAACAGCUAAUCAUUGGGUAUCCCGGAUCUUCCGUUCUUGGUGCUGCCAAUCUUCCCUGCCGGUCUCUUCUUGGACAUGAGAGCUUCUCUGCAUAGGUAGUAAAAGAUGUAUCCUGUGGGAGCUUACCCUAUUUGGUGGUAACUAUGUUGAUACUAUCCAGGGAAGCUUCAGGUGGCCCUGGAAUUAUUCCGAUUUCAGCAGAGGGUACAGCAACAGCUAGCUGAGCUAGUUUAGUUUCAAGCAUCUUGUUGAAGCUUAGCUGACUCUUGAUAGCGGAGAAGAUGCCAUCCAUCUUCUCUUGAAUGGUCUCCAAGGUCUUGUUGUUGGCGGCCAUCUUCUUUUGCAGUGAUUCAUUGACUUUUGCUUGGCCUAGGACAUGAUUCCUCAAGGAAGGUUGGUUAGGAUUAAACAAAUUUGAAUUACCAUUACCUCCUUGGUAGUAGGGGCAUGACUGAUUCCACCCCUGACCUCCUUGUGGAUGAAACCUAUUGUUGUUGUUGUUGUUGUUGUUCAUGUACAUGACAUCUUCAUGGGUUUCGGGGUAGUCGUUACCAGAAUGUCCGGUGUUACCGUAGACCUCGCACAUCAUGCGAGCAUCCAAGGCUUGAAGUGUUUGCAUCGGAGCCUUGUCCUCGGGUCGUUCCUCGAUCUUCUUGAGGAGGAGGCUGAGCUUGGCAGCGAGCAUGUCCAUCUCCUUGAUGGUGUGCAUGCCUUUCUGGCAUGGUUGGGGACGUUCUUUGUUACAACCUUGGUUGCGCACCAUCUUCUCGAUCAAAGUCUUAGCCUUGUCAAUGGUUAGCGAGAAGAAAGCACCACCUGUGGUAGCAUCGAUGUGGUCGUGGGCAAUUGGAGUCAGCCCGCUGUAGAAGUUGUAAAGGAUGAGCCAAUCGUCCAUCCCAUGGUGAGGACACGCUAGGAUGUACUCCUGAAGCCUCUCGCAUGCUUUAGAUAUAGACUCAUUUGACACCUGCUGGAAACUGAAGAUUCUUCCUCGAAGAGCAUUGGUUUUGCCCAUCGUGAAGAACUUAGUGAGAAAUGCCUUCGUGCAAUUAUCCCUAGUGUCCACUACACUUAUGUUGGCUUGGCCUUCCCUGGAAUAGAAAAUGGAAUCAGUUGGAGUCGGAUUGCAUCGUGAGUGACUCCCUUAAUGACAAAAGUGCUGCAGAGCUCCAGGAAUUCUUGGAGAUGUGCGCUGGCAUCCUCGUUGGCCUUGCCACAGAAUGGGCUGGCCUGCAUCAUUGUAAUGAGACCCGUUUUGAUCUCGAAUAUUUCAACUCCUGUAGUAACGGAUGGCCUGACCGGGACAUUGUCAGCUGAGGGAGCAGAGAAAUCCCGAAGUGUCUUCUGGGCCAUGGUCCUUGAAGUUGAUGGGGCAAUAUUGACUGAUUCGGCUGUCGAGAGUGAAAUCUGAGGAUGUACGACACAGGGUCGAAGUCUUCUCAAAAGAGACUUCGGAUCCUGAAUGAAAUUAUGCGGCAGAUCAAAACCAGUCAUACACUACCCUAUUUUCAUAUCAAAGAGAGAAAACAAAGCCAAGUUAGCCUGUUUAAACAAUGAAUACCAACUAAAAUAUUAAUCAAGAACUUAGUUUAUUCUUUUAACUAGUGCCUUCCCCGGCAAGAGUGCCAAAAAUGCUUGUUGGCAUUUGUUAGCAUCAUCACUAGGAUCAUUAAUCCCUAGCAAUGGUGCCUAAAACGCCGUGUGAUAUUUCUUACAUCAUAGAUAAAUCCUCAAGCGUACGGAAUACCAUUGUAGCAUUUUACCCGUGAGUAAUCUUGGGUGUCGUAUUUAUAUUUCUGCAGGAAUGGCAGCGGUUAUAGAAUAAAAAAGUUCAUGAUCAAAUCUUGGUUGAGUAUUCGAUUGUAUAAACAGGGGCAAGAUAUAUAUUGAUAAUGAGGUAGUAUGACACACAAGUUACUCAAGCUCAAACUCAGGCAAAGGCAUAGGUAGGGAGAAAGGAAGAAGAAAGCUACUCGGAAUUUAUGUACUUCUAUCUAGAUAUAUAGCUUAUACUAUACACUCAUUACACAUACACAUGAUUAUUCUUAGCUCUAGGCUCCAGGCAUUACCGGAAGAACCGCACAUGAUUGGCAAAGGAGCCACCAGACAACUCGGCUACUUUAUGGACCUCCUACAACCACUACCCAAACGGGGAGGGUUAUGCUGGAUGGACAGGGCUGUCACCACCUGCCACCUACCUCAUCGAACAAUGGGAUAGGACCGCAUCCGGCAACACUGACUAGCCCAGACACCACAUCUAUGCUAAUGAGCGAUACUCUAGCAUCCCGUGUGGAGCCCCCACCCUCCGGAUGGACAGACAUCACACUAGAGCAAACAUACGAAUACCGAAACCAUUACUGUGGCACUAGAUUUACUCUUCUAAUCAUGCAAGGCAUAAGUUUUGAAUACAAAUUAAUCAUAGCAUACAUGUUUGACACCGCAAUAUAUAAACUAUGCAAGUAUGUAAAUCCAGAAGAUAACCCUAUUAAAGAUAUCCGAGAAUUACAAAGGAGAGGAAGAGAUAAACCCAUACCGAACACUCCUAGGCAACCUCGGGAACCUAAAGAGAGCUACUUCAGCCUAAACUCUACUAACCUAUGGACUAAGAAAGAGAGGAACUUAAGAGAGAGCAACUUGAGGUGUGUCUUAAUCCUACCCCCCUCCCCUCAUAUUUAUAGGUGUGUCCAAGGGUGUUUUGGCCAUGCAAACAGCUAAAGCCUUAGAUAACCAACGUUCGGGACCAAUGGGGAGGCACCAUAUUGAAGAACUAAGUCAGUGGAGCUGGUCCUGGUUCGGCCGAACCACCUGGUUCAGACGACACAAACCUGGAUCCAACCGUCCUGAUCUUUGGCUGGGUGGCUGACAGAUGUGCCCUCAAGACAAUGGUGCACAGGUUGGUGUUGUCCUUAGGCUGUUGCAUGUCCUAGUGGGCCUUUGAUCCAUGCGAGGCUGAAUGGUGCGUUCAGAUUGGUCGUAUAGCUUUUGCCAUAGAUUUAAGGGUGUGUUUUCCCUCCAUUUCUGCACAAAUCGCUGCAUAGCACUAUUUUUCAAGGGACAUAUGAAAUGACAUUAUUCAAGAUAUUUAUGCGUACAAGAAAUGGUAGUUCUUCCAAUUUUCUGAUCAAAUUAAUGGUCAAAAUUGAUCUAUAAUGAGCGUCAACAGCGCCGACCAAUCAAAAUGCACCGAGCAGCCCCACAUGGAUCCAAGGGCCCACCAGAGCAGGAAACCGACUUAUGACAGCAUCAACUCACCUGCCAUGGACCAGAGGGCCCACCUGCUAGCCUCCUGCCCAAAGCUGAGGUUGGUUGGAGCUCAAUCUGGUUUGGCCGAAUCAGGUGGUUUGGCUGAACCAAGCCAGCUCCACCGACUUAAACCUUCAAUGUGGCAUCUCCUCAUUGGCUCCCAAUGUCGGUUCAAGGAGGCCCCAACUGUUUUUCCGGCCGCAACUCCCUUCCAAAGCAGAGGUUGGUUGGAGCUCAACCUGGUUCGGCCGAACCAGGUGGUUUGGCUAAACCAAGGCCAGCUCCACCGACUUAAACCUUCAACGUGGCAUCUCCUCAUUGGCUCCCAACGUUGGUUCAAGGAGGCCCCAGCUGUUUUUUCGGCCGCAGCUCCCUUGGACACAUAUAUAAAUAUGAGGGGGGGGGCGGUUAGAAUCAAGACACACACACAACACAACGAUUUGGACAAGUCUCAGCUGAAAACAAGCGACCGCUUGAACCGAUGUCAUCAAAUAUCAACUAAGCGCUUCAAAUGAAGAAGAAGUCAGUAGUACCAGUUUAACCGAUGCUAUGGACAGUAGAUGUUUGUGCAAUUCUCAGUUGGUCUGGUGCUAUGCAUAGAAGCUCCAAAAGGUUUUGGGUAAAAGUGCCUUCAGGACCGAUUGAACCGGCGCUCAAGAAGAAGGCAUCGGUGUCAAACCCGAGGCCACGGGACUGUGCACAUGGCAUACAUAUUAUAGGAUAAGGGAUAGGAUAUGGUCCACACCCGAUAAGGGAUAGGAUAUGGUCCACACCUGUAACAUCCUGAAAAUUUUACCCAGAAAUCACGCGCUAAGAUUUUCGUUUUCGAGAACCGUUCCACCGAAACCCUAAAUUUCCCGGCACCCGAAUCCGAUCGCAGUCACGCCAUCUUUUCCCCCUCGUGCAGCGCGCGGACGCCGCGCGCGCGUGACCGACCAGCCGCAGUCACCGCCGUGAAAUUCGCCGCGCGGUCGCCGCCGCGAAUUCCGCCGGCGCGCGUCACUUCUCCCUUUUUUUCCAUUAUUUCUUUCCCCUUUUUCCCUUUCCUCCCUUUUCCCUUUUUCCUUUUUCCCAUUUUCCUUUUCCCUUUUUCCUUUUUCUUCCCUCCCUUUUUCCUUUCUCCUUCCUGUUUCUUCCUCCCUGCUCCUCUGCUCCCGAGCGCCACCCCGCACACCGCUCCGGCCUCUGGCGCCCCUGCCCUUGCGCGCACGCCACCCCGCCCUCGCGCGCACGCCGCCGUACGCGCGCGCGCCGCCGACCCUCGCGCGCACGCGCUUCACGCGCACGCGCAUGGCCGAGCCGCGACGCGCUCGCGCACGCGCCGCCCGUCGCUGGCGCCCUGCCCGACCGCGCGCGCCGUCCCCUCCUGGCCACUGUGGCCGCACAGCGCCCCGCCCUCGGCGCCCACGCCGCACGGCGACGACCGCAAGCCGCCGAGGCACCAUUAAUGGCGCCCCGUGCAGCCCGCCGGCCGCCACCCCCCCGAGGGCCUCCUUCCCGCCGCCCUCUCCCUAUAAAUCCCCCCCCACCGCACAGCCCACCUCCCCACGGCCUCCACCGCCACCUACAACCCCUCCCCGAGCCCGUAAUGCCGCCGCCGCUCACAGCUUCCCCGCCGCCCGCCGCCCACCGUGGGGGCGCCCCCUCGCUCCACCUCGGCCCGAGGUAAGGCCGGGGAUGGACUCCCCGUGCCCCCCUCCCCCUUCUCCCCCACACGCUCGAGCCGCCCCGGGCCUCGGCCGCCGGGAUUGGGCCGGCGCCGAGCCCCCUUUCCCCCUCCCCUGUUUCCUGCGGCAGGAGGAAGAAGAAAGGGCCAUUUGCCCAAAACCCCCCCCCCCCUUUCUUCUAUUUUCCCAAAGGAACCCCCCAUCCACUCCCUUUUUGCAAACAAAGCCCUGCUCUCCCCGUUAUUUCAAACCAAACCCCUCGAUGCAUAAACCUAGAUGCACUUGACACCUUUUAGCAUACUCGGGGUAUUUCUAGGAUUUACAAAUAGGCCCUUACUCUUUCCAGAUACUUACAAAUAGACCCCUAGAACCCUGUUUAACCACCCGAACCCUCUUUACCUCGUCAUUUUAUGUGCGAAAUGACCUCCGAUCGACCCGAAACUUUGCCACGCCCUUCUUAGUAUAGUUUUAACCAUGCCAUUAAGAAACCACCCGGAGAUAUCACCCCUAACUCCGUAACUAAAUUAUUUCCGAUUCGAGCUCAACGAUAAAAGCUUUAAGUUCUUGUGCUUGAUUGUGUGUCUGUUUGUUUGCGUCGUAGGACACGGAGUGAACGAGGAAGGCCUCGACUGUGAUCAAGCGAACGAGAACCAGUUCCGCGACUCCGAGCCCGAGGGGCAGUGCUACGAUCAGGACCUCCCGCAAGAGUUUGACGAUGGCAAGUUCAAUUCCGCCCUUUGAUGCAUGUUUUUGUCCUAGUUUUUAUAAACACAACCUGAUGGCCUGUUUUAUAAAAUUGCAUGGUUUUGCGUGCCGUAACCAUGGUAGGAUAGCCACCCUUGUUGUGACAACCAUACCUUGACCACCUGAUUUUAUAAAGAAAAUGCGUGUGUGUGGGAAAGGGUAAAAUGUGGAUUUGAGAAACGAGUCGGACGGGAUGGAUGGCAUUUCUGUGUGAAUUGCCGUUGGUGUGCUCGUACCUGUGUGGUUGAGCAUGGAGGGGAGAUAUCCAUCUUGUCACCCCUAAGGACCGAGUUGAUGUGUCGUCUCACCUAGCUUCCUGUCGUGCAAACCACUUGACCGUUGUAUGGGCAACGGCUUGGCCUAACCCCACUAGUUAGUCUGAUAGCCAUCAGGAGAGCUGGGAGCAACGGGUGAUCAAGGAGAUGGGAUAAGCUCUGUGUGACUUAUGCCCCGGUUAAACCUCGGUGGUAGGUCGAAUGACCCCUUGAUAAAUCCCGUGGUGGCUAGUCAGGUCUAGCUAAGGUGGGUAAGGGCUUCGAUGGGAUCUGCACCGGCACUAAGGUGUUCGUGCUGUGGUACCCCACCUGUGGGUAAAGUUGCACACCUCUGCAGAGUUGAAAAUCUAUUUGAAUAGCCGUGCCCACGGUAUUGGGCAAGUUAUGGUGUGGUCACAUAACUAGUGUUUCUCUCUGGAAAUGAUUGGGCUGGUGUGAGUCGUUUGGAAAGUGUCCGGCAGUUGUGCCGUGAGCUACGGCGGACGGGGAGUCCGGUAGCAUUUUCAAACUUGGAUCCUGUGUGGAUCAACACUGUGUGCUCCUUGGUAUACGAAAACCUGUUUUAAAAAUGCCUUUAAAACAAACCCCUGCAUACAACAGAGUUUCCGCAAAUGAACCACAACCAUAUCCUUGGAUUGUCCUGUGCAUUAACUUCUGUUAUACCCCUCCGUAGGUGUGAUUGGACUUGCUGAGUACGUUUGUACUCACCCCAUUCUUACUUUUACAAUGGAAGACCCAGACUACGUCCCCGAAGACAACGAGUAGGGUUUCGUCCUGCACCCAGUCUUGCCUGUGGUUGAGGCCACCGUUGGAUUCCGCAUGGCGCAAGACUCUGAUGAUUCUCUUUUUGUAGCUAGUGUAGUAGUGUGGGUUCUGGUUGUAAUCCUCGCGAUAGUGGCGCUUCACUGCCCAUUACCGCGUAGAGUUGUACGGUGAUGUACCAUCUGAUGUAAUAAAAGUGUUAUCAGCCUCCUGGGACUGAUAAAUCAACACUUUUAAGUCUUUCCUGAUGGGGGACGCUUCAGGUGGUAUCAGAGCCGUAGGCUGGCCGUAGGACGAGACCCUAGGAGCGAGACCCCUUUUCAGGCCCCAUAACUUGUCCCGAUUUAGAAAUUUUCUGCACAAACACUCACCACUGGUCUUUGCCUUGUUCCAGAUGGCUGGCAAUGGAUGGGUUAGCGAAAUCUGCCACGCAGAGCCCGGCCUCCCCAAGUUACUAUUGCUCAGCCUGGAACGCGUUGGGGUUAUGGAACCACCGGAGUAUGCCUACCGUGAGUACAUCGCCGGAGGCACCCUUCGGUACGACAUGAUGGUUUUUGUGGAGAAAAGCACCCGCUACCCUGAUGUGGACCCUUGGUUCAUCUCCACCACUGGUUUCCGCUUCCCCGACACCUAUCGAAAGGCCGCUCGUAAAGCCCUGCGACGACUGCGUGUGCUCUACAGGCACCACCUUCAGCGGACCCCUAUGGGAUUUUUCCCACCCGCUGAGGGAAGAGGGCGCACUUGGAUUGCCCGAAUGAGGGGACUUGGACGAGAAGAAGAAGACCUAGAAGACACGGUUUCCCACCUGUCCAUCUACCUCACUGGCUUGGAUGCACUCUACCGCGAGCAGGCGGCACAACUGAAGCAGCUAAUCCAUGGGAUUGAAAAGUUAACCCAGGAGCUGGAGGAACAACGGACAAGAGCUGCAAACGCCGAGUAUUCCUUAGCCGCCCUCCAAGUCCAGAUACAAGAAUACGAGGAUCGCAAUGGAAUAGGUGGAUGGAUAGAGGAGGAAGAAGAAGAACCCAUGGAAACCCAUUGGGAUAAGGGUACUCACACCGAAAAUGAGAUGGAUCGGUUCCUUCCAAUAAAGAAGCGCUCUAUCAGGACCGAGGAAGAAUCCCCGUAAUAGGGUUAGCACUCCAAGUUAGAACCCGACCCUAAUAACCCCGUGCCCCUGGAAACUGUACCCCACCAUGUUGCAAUAAUAAAUGAUAUCUACUCCCUCGUUGUACCUGUACAAAAUUUGUUUACCCUGUUCAUGUUUCAGAUGGCUGAGGAAGGAUGGACCCAGGGCGAUUGCCAAGCUGCACCUGGAUUCCCCAGCCUCUUGAUCAACACCCUGGAAGACCUUGGCGUUACGGAGCGCCCAAGGUACUACAGCCGAGAGUACGAGCACCAUGGUACCCUCCGCUGCAGGGUGAUCCUGGUCAUCGCCAGGAGCAACCGCUACCCCGACAUUCAGCCCUAGCGGGCGACCGCCACAGGGUUCAGACACCAAGACACCUACCCCUUGGCCAUCAGAAAAGCACUCCGUUAUUUGUGCCGGAUUUUUGAAGAACACCUCGCCCCCACGCCAGCGAAGUUCUUCCCGCCGGCCAUCAGAACCCCAGUCUGGGAGGCACGCAUGAGAAACCUGGAGCGAUGUCGCCACGAAGAAGGCCCCCUGUACCAAGUGGCUACUUACCUAGCCGCCCUGGACCAACUCUUUGAUGAGCAAGCCAACCUUCUGAGGGAGCAGACCCAUCGAGCCGAGCAAGCGGAGCUCGCAGUGAGGAUACAGCAGAUCCGAGCCACCCACGCCGAGGCGAGAGCCGCAGCCGCGGUCAGUAGCAAAGCAGUCGCCCAAGAAAGCCUCAGGCAAGCCCGAGACUGGCGCAUGCAAGAUUGGACCCGAAGUGGGACACCAGUCCCGGCAAUUGGGGAGGACCAUGUUUUACUCGGGACGCCCAUCAUAGGAUGGGGACCCCUUUUUGGAAGCACAUGAGCCCCACCCGAGAACCCUGAAAGUUCUGCUGCCGCCGUCGAAAGGGAUGCUGCAGCGCAACCCUUGCCAGAUGGAUACCCAGAGGACGGCGAGCAAGGAUCACUCGCACUUCCCACCCCGGAAGAAGGCACGCCUCGCGAAUAGAAUAACCGACGCCGUCCCAGUGAUGCACCCCCCAGCUUAAGAUGAGCCCUUAGACAAGACCCUGGCCGAGAAGCACGAGACCUAGUCGUACCCCCAAGUUGUACCCCCCUUGCAGUAAUAAAAUGGUUUGUGCUUGUUGUUUGUGAUGUGUGUGUUGGUUUAUUGUGUGCUGAUUGUUUAUAUGAAUACCGGCAGAAGGUAGAUUCUGCCUUAUAUAUAUAUAUACGAAUUAAACAACUUAAACAUCACCUAAUCGUAACCCCACUCUACCCAAUCAACAGAUGGUUCCCCGGAGCGUCACGAGGGCCUCCCGUAGCCGGAACCCCGCAGCCGCUGGUGCCGGAGCACAGCCUGCUGGACAGAAUCCUCCUCAGGCAGAGCAAGAAGUAAGCCAGAACCGAGGGGAAAAUCAAGGAGGAGAGCAACUACCGCCACCCCCACCUCUCGGAGACCUGGCACAGAUAAUUCACAACCAGACCCUCAUACUGGAGACUCUGGCCAAUGCCCUCAUUAACCGGCAGCCACGAGGGCAGAAUAUGAACGACAAGCUGACGGCCUUCCUAAGGACCAAGCCACCCACUUUUGCCGGGUCCUGCAACCCGUUGGAUGCUGACGACUGGUUACGAGUGAUUCAGAGGAAGCUCGAACCAUUCGAAUGCCAGGACCGGGAUAAAGUCCUUCUGGCAGCCCACCAGCUCACCGGAACAGCAUUAUCCUGGUGGGAAAACUAUUGUGCCGCAGCCGAAGAUGCCUCUACCAUCACUUGGGGAGAAUUCGUAAGGGAGUUCCGCCGCUACCACAUCCCUUCGGCCACUAUGAAGCGCAAGGCGGAUGAAUUCCGCGCACUACAACAAGGAAGCAUGUCGGUGGAAGAAUACACCCACCGGUUCAUAGAAUUGGCCCGGUACGCGCCGGAAGAGGUGAACGACGAUGAUAAAAAGCAAGACAUGUUCAAGAAAGGGUUAAGCCCGGAGCUACGGACCUUGCUUACUCCCCAGAUCUACCCGGACUUCAACACCCUGAUGAACAAGGCCAUCCUCACAGAAAGGGCCAAGGCUGAAGAGAGAAAGGAUAAUAAACGCAAAUUCCUGGAAAGUAAAGCCCGCCAACAGGACCGCUUCCAAAAGCCGAGGAACUCCAACUACACUACACCAAGAUCCCAGGCCCCAAUGCAGUAUAGGACUCAGUCCCAAGUGACAGGAACACGAGCCUCCGAAGCACAGCCUAAGAGUCAGAAUACCAUGAGGGCCCCGCAGAACAACACAAGCCUGGCCGCCUCCGACAACAACAAUGUUAGGGCUUGUUUCAACUGCCGUGAGACAGGGCACUUCAUCGCCAACUGCCCUUACGCCAAGAAUAAGCCGGCCACGUCAGCCUUCUCCAACACAGUGAAUGGGCCCAGACCGGCCCUGACCGGUGCCAACCGAGUGCCCGUCCGCAACAACGACGGCAGCCAGCAGGUGAAGCAGCAAUCAUUUGGACGAGCCCGCGUCAACCACAUCGACGCGCAGGAGGCUCAAGAAGCUCAGGGCGUAAUGCUCGGUGAGUACUUAGUCAACUCAGCUCUGGCGACAGUAUUAUUUGAUUCUGGAGCAUCGCACUCGUUUAUAUCCUCGAGCUAUGUGGAGAAACACAAAAUACCUACAGUACUACUAAAAACACCCCUAUUAACCCGGACGCCUGGAGGCGACAUUAAUUGUCAGUUAGGUUGUCCACGGAUAAGGAUCAAUUUAAGUGGGGUAGACUUUCUAGCAGAUUUGGUAGUACUUAAGCCUGGGGGAAUAGACGUGAUCCUUGGGAUGGACUGGUUAAGCCGACACAAUGGUCUCAUAGGCUGUACCGACAAGGUGGUACACCUAACAAACCACGAAGGAGUACAAGUGAUCUGCCGCACCCGGGAUAGCAAGUUUGACCCAAUGGUAUUUAGCAUGGAAGCCAAGCCCUUAGAAGGAGUCCCGGUAGUAAACGAAUACCCAGAUGUAUUCCCCGAAGAGCUUCCCGGUAUGCCGCCAGACAGGGAUAUAGAAUUCGUCAUAGACCUUAUUCCCGGAACCUCUCCGAUAGCCAAGAGACCCUAUAGGAUGGCGGCUUCUGAGCUAACAGAAUUAAAGAAACAACUAGAAGAACUGCAGCGAAUUGGCUUCAUCAGACCAAGCUCGUCGCCAUGGGGAGCCCCAGUGCUAUUUGUCAAGAAGAAAGAUGGGAGUAUGAGGUUGUGUGUAGACUACCGAGCACUGAAUGAGGUUACCAUUAAGAAUAAGUACCCCCUCCCCAGAAUUGAUGACCUUUUCGAUCAGCUAAAAGGAGCCAAGUACUUUUCCAAGAUCGAUCUAAGGUCAGGAUAUUUUCAGCUCAAAAUUAGAGAAAGUGACAUCCCUAAGACAGCCUUUGUCACCCGCUACGGGCAGUUCGAGUUCACCGUAAUGUCCUUCGGACUAACCAAUGCCCCUGCCUAUUUUAUAAACCUCAUGAACAAGGUAUUCAUGGACGAGCUAGAUAAGUUUGUCGUAGUCUUUAUCGACGACAUACUUAUCUACUCCAAGAGUGUUCAGGAACAUGAGCAACAUCUGCGGGUAGUAUUGGAGAAGCUGAGGACACAUAGGCUCUAUGCUAAGUUCAGCAAGUGCGAAUUCUGGCUGGGGAGAGUAGCUUUCCUUGGUCACAUUCUGACCGCGGAAGGCGUAGCAGUGGAUCCAGAGAAGGUCGAAGCAGUUUCCAACUGGCAGCGACCGACUAAUGUUAGUGAAAUCAGAAGUUUUCUUGGAUUAGCUGGGUACUAUCGGAGAUUUAUCGAGGGAUUCUCCAAGAUAGCCCGACCCAUGACGGAACUUCUUAAGAAGGAGAAGAAGUUCGCCUGGACGGAAAAUUGUGAAAGAAGCUUUCAAGAAUUGAAGCAAAGGUUGACAACCGCCCCAGUGCUGACCCUACCAGAUAUUCAUCGGGACUUUGUCAUUUAUUGUGACGCAUCCCGACAAGGAUUAGGGUGUGUACUGAUGCAAGAUGGGAGAGUCGUCGCAUAUGCUUCCCGCCAACUCAAGACCCAUGAGUGGAACUACCCGACCCACGAUUUGGAGCUUGCAGCCGUAGUGCAUGCCCUUAAGAUUUGGAGACAUUAUUUGAUUGGAAAUAAGUGUGAAAUUUACACCGACCAUAAGAGUUUGAAAUAUAUCUUCACCCAACCGGAUUUGAACCUAAGGCAGAGGAGAUGGCUGGAGUUGGUUAAGGACUACAAUUUAGAAAUCCAUUACCACCCCGGAAAGGCAAAUGUGGUAGCCGACGCCUUAAGCCGGAAAUCCUAUGGACCCAAGGAUGACAAUCUACGCGAGGAAAUGGCACGAUUAAAUGUGCACAUUGUUCCUCGAGGUUCCAGCCAUGUGCUAAGCGUCCAACCAACACUAGAGGAUAGAAUUAGAGAGGCUCAAAGCUCGGAUCAGGAGUUAAUGAAGAUCUGCAAACAGACUGGAGAAAACAAAGCGCCGGGUUUCAGAGUAGACGAUAAGGGGACAUUAUGGUACGAGGAUAGGAUUUGUGUGCCCCAGAAUGGAGACUUCCGGCAGAUGAUCAUGGACGAAGCCCAUAACUCGGCCUACUCCAUCCACCCAGGAUCCACCAAAAUGUAUUUGGACAUAAGGCAAAAAUAUUGGUGGAAUGGAAUGAAGGCGGAUAUCGCAAGAUUCGUGGCUCAUUGUGAUACUUGCCAAAGGAUCAAGGCUGAACACCAAAAGCCGGCAGGAUUAUUACAACCCUUGCCCAUUCCGGUGUGGAAAUGGGAUGAGAUAGGAAUGGACUUUGUAGUAGGUCUACCUAAAACACAGAAGGGACACGAUUCGAUAUGGGUAAUAGUGGAUCGACUCACUAAAUCGGCACAUUUCAUCCCCGUACGAACUAACUACGGUGGAGAGAAGCUGGCAAAGCUUUAUGUGGAAAACAUAGUAAAGUUACAUGGAGUGCCUAGCAGAAUUGUCUCAGACAGAGGGACCCAAUUCACCUCCAGAUUUUGGAAAAGCCUGCAUAAAGCCAUGGGCACCAAGUUAGAUUUCAGCUCCGCAUAUCACCCGCAGACGGAUGGUCAAACCGAAAGGGUGAAUCAGAUUAUGGAAGAUAUGCUGAGAGCAUGUGUCCUGACUUACGGAAAGGACUGGGAGCAGAGUCUGCCCUAUGCGGAAUUCUCGUACAACAAUAGUUACCAAGCCAGCUUGGGCAUGUCGCCAUUCGAAGCCCUCUAUGGAAGAAAGUGCAAAACUCCAUUGAUGUGGUCGGAAGUUGGGGAACGUGCCCUAGUAGGACCCGCACUUAUAAAAGAAGCAGAGGAAAAGGUAGCGGAAAUCCGCGAGAAAUUAAAAGCGGCUCAGUCCCGACAAAAGAGCUACGCAGACAAGAAGAGGCGGGAAAUAAGUUUCAAUCCGGGAGAUUUUGUUUAUCUCAAGGUCUCACCCAUUCGAGGAACGCGAAGGUUUCAAGUGCAAGGAAAAUUGGCCCCUCGAUACAUUGGACCGUACCGAGUUCUGAAGAAGGUCGGAGCAGUGGCAUACCAACUGGAGUUACCGGAAGAAAUGUCAGAUAUACACCCAGUAUUUCAUGUCUCGCAAUUAAGGAGAUGUUUAAGAGUACCCGAGGGAGAACAUGUGCCUGUGGAAACAAUAGAUCUACAGCCGGAUCUGCGAUACCAGGAAAUACCGGUCAAAAUUCUGGACACCGUCACUAGGAGGACAAGAAACUCCGAAGUACGGAUAUGCAGGGUUCAGUGGAGUAGACAUGGAGUAGAAGAAGCGACAUGGGAACGCGAAGAUGCUCUGAAGAAGGAGUUUCCCCAUUUGUUUAGGAACUAGCCGAAUCUCGGGGACGAGAUUCAUUUUAAGUGGGGUAGGUUUGUAACAUCCUGAAAAUUUUACCCAGAAAUCACGCGCUAAGAUUUUCGUUUUCGAGAACCGUUCCACCGAAACCCUAAAUUUCCCGGCACCCGAAUCCGAUCACAGUCACGCCAUCUUUUCCCCCUCGUGCAGCGCACGGACGCCGCGCGCGCGUGACCGACCAGCCGCGGUCACCGCCGUGAAAUUCGCCGCGCGGUCGCCGCCGCGAAUUCCGCCGGCGCGCGUCACUUCUCCCUUUAUUUUUCCAUUAUUUCUUUCCCCUUUUUCCCUUUCCUCCCUUUUCCCUCUUUCCUUUUUCCCAUUUUCCUUUUCCCUUUUUCCUUUUUCUUCCCUCCCUUUUCCUUUCUCCUUCCUGUUUCUUCCUCCCUGCUCCUCUGCUCCCGAGCGCCACCCCGCACACCGCUCCGGCCUCUGGCGCCCCUGCCCUUGCGCGCACGCCACCCCGCCCUUGCACGCACGCCACCUCGCCCUCGCGCGCACGCCGCCGUACGCGCGCGCGCCGCCGACCCUCGCGCGCACGCGCUUCACGCGCACGUGCACGGCCGGGCCGCGACGCGCUCGCGCACGCGCCGCCUGCACGCGUGCCGCGCCGCCCAUCGCUGGCGCCCUGCCCGACCGCGCGCGCCGUCCCCUCCUGGCCACUGUGGCCGCACAGCGCCCCGCCCUCGGCGCCCACGCCGCACGGCGAUGACCGCAAGCCGCCGGGGCACCAUUAAUGGCGCCCCGUGCAGCCCACCGGCCGCCACCCCCCGAGGGCCUCCUUCCCGCCGCCCUCUCCCUAUAAAUCCCCCCCCCACCGCACAGCCCACCUCCCCACGGCCUCCACCGCCACCUGCAACCCCUCCCGAGCCGUAACGCCGCCGCCGCUCACAGCUUCCCCGCCGCCCGCCGCCCACCGUGGGGGCGCCCCCUCGCUCCACCUCGGCCCGAGGUAAGGCCGGGGAUGGACUCCCCGUGCCCCCCUCCCCCUUCUCCCCCACGCGCUCGAGCCGCCCCGGGCCUCGGCCGCCGGGAUUGGGCCGGCGCCAAGCCCCCUUUCCCCCUCCCCUGUUUCUUGCGGCAGGAGGAAGAAGAAAGGGCCAUUUGCCCAAACCCCCCCCCCCUUUCUUCUAUUUUCCCAAAGGAACCCCCCAUCCACUCCCUUUUUGCAAACAAAGCCCUGCUCUCCCCGUUAUUUCAAACCAAACCCCUCGAUGCAUAAACCUAGAUGCACUUGACACCUUUUAGCAUACUCGGAGUAUUUCUAGGAUUUACAAAUAGGCCCUUACUCUUUCCAGAUACUUACGAAUAGACCCCUAGAACCCUGUUUAACCACCCGAACCCUCUUUACCUCGUCAUUUUAUGUGCGAAAUGACCUCCGAUCGACCCGAAACUUUGCCACGCCCUUCUUAGUAUAGUUUUAACCAUGCCAUUAAGAAACCACCCGGAGAUAUCACCCCUAACUCCGUAACUAAAUUAUUUCCGAUUCGAGCUCAACGAUAAAAGCUUUCAGUUCUUGUGCUUGAUUGUGUGUCUGUUUGUUUGCGUCGUAGGACACGGAGUGAACGAGGAAGGCCUCGACUGUGAUCAAGCGAACGAGAACCAGUUCCGCGACUCCGAGCCCGAGGGGCAGCGCUACGAUCAGGACCUCCCGCAAGAGUUUGACGAUGGCAAGUUCAAUUCCGCCCUUUGAUGCAUGUUUUUGUCCUAGUUUUUAUAAACACAACCCGAUGGCCUGUUUUAUAAAAUUGCAUGGUUUUGCGUGCCGUAACCAUGGUAGGAUAGCCACCCUUGUUGUGACAACCAUACCUUGACCACCUGAUUUUAUAAAGAAAAUGCGUGUGUGUGGGAAAGGGUAAAAUGUGGAUUUGAGAAACGAGUCGGACGGGAUGGAUGGCAUUUCUGUGUGAAUUGCCGUUGGUGUGCUCGUACCUGUGUGGUUGAGCAUGGAGGGGAGAUAUCCAUCUUGUCACCCCUAAGGACCGAGUUGAUGUGUCGUCUCACCUAGCUUCCUGUCGUGCAAACCACUUGACCGUUGUAUGGGCAACGGCUUGGCCUAACCCCACUAGUUAGUCUGAUAGCCAUCAGGAGAGCUGGGAGCAACGGGUGAUCAAGGAGACGGGAUAAGCUCUGUGUGACUUAUGCCCCGGUUAAACCUCGGUGGUAGGUCGAAUGACCCCUUGAUAAAUCCCGUGGUGGCUAGUCAGGUCUAGCUAAGGUGGGUAAGGGCUUCGAUGGGAUCUGCACCGGCACUAAGGUGUUCGUGCUGUGGUACCCCACCUGUGGGUAAAGUUGCACACCUCUGCAGAGUUGAAAAUCUAUUCGAAUAGCCGUGCCCACGGUAUUGGGCAAGUUAUGGUGUGGUCACAUAACUAGUGUUUCUCUCUGGAAAUGAUUGGGCUGGUGUGAGUCGUUUGGAAAGUGUCCGGCAGUUGUGCCGUGAGCUACGGCGGACGGGGAGUCCGGUAGCAUUUUCAAACUUGGAUCUUGUGUGGAUCAACACUGUGUGCUCCUUGGUAUACGAAAACCUGUUUUAAAAAUGCCUUUAAAACAAACCCCUGCAUACAACAGAGUUUCCGCAAAUGAACCACAACCAUAUUCUUGGAUUGUCCUGUGCAUUAACUUCUGUUAUACCCCUCCGUGGGUGUGAUUGGACUUGCUGAGUACGUUUGUACUCACCCCAUUCUUACUUUUACAAUGGAAGACCCAGACUACGUCCCCGAAGACAACGAGUAGGGUUUCGUCCUGCACCCAGUCUUGCCUGUGGUUGAGGCCACCGUUGGAUUCCGCAUGGCGCAAGACUCUGAUGAUUCUCUUUUCGUAGCUAGUGUAGUAGUGUGGGUUCUGGUUGUAAUCCUCGCGAUAGUGGCGCUUCAAUGCCCAUUACCGCGUAGAGUUGUACGGUGAUGUACCAUCUGAUGUAAUAAAAGUGUUAUCAGCCUCCUGGGACUGAUAAAUCAACACUUUUAAGUCUUCCUUGAUGGGGGGACGCUUCAACACCCUAAUCCAGUUGUAACUACUCGUACAGGAGUAGAACUAAUUGGAACAGAAGAAAACUACCUGAGUAGUAAUCGGGUAAGACUCUUAAGCUCGUAUUUGGCUAGGACUUCCAUAUAACCCUGUUGCCCCAGACUAUAUAAGGGUGGGUAUGGACCCCCUCCAAAUAUUACAUCAUCUAAGACAAUACAAACCACCACAAAGGAUGUAGGCUAUUACGCUCUUGGUGGAGCGAACCUGUCUAAAGUUUCAGGUUCCUUGCACCUUCGAGUUCCUGAUCUCGGCGACACCCCACCUACAAUCUACCACCUCAGGGAUAUCCCUCGGUGGGCUUGGAGGUUAAACAUCGAUAAUUGCUGUGCUAGGUAGGGGUAUUCAUCGAGCAUCCACUAGAGAACUCGAUGGAAUUUUUCAACUUCACCAGCGCCGUGCUUGAUGAGGGCACAAUUUUCGUCUUUGGCUCGUGGGUCUGCGUUGCUGAUGGCACAUGCAGCGUUCGUCGGCACCUUGUCAAUGACAUGAAGUUGGAGGCAUCUACGGCAAGCCAACACAGCAGUCUUGAUGGGUUCAUCAACAAUCUCGUCGAGACGCUGCUCCCUGAUCUUGCUAGGGAGAUCGAGGACGAGUCCAUUUUCAAUGUGACUUCAACUCAUGCUGCACCAGGACUCCUCAGAUUGGAUCUGAUUUGGUAUGAGGAUUUGCGUACCCGAUCACCUUUCGGGCUACGCAACACAGCCACUAUUUACUAGAAGGCCAUGCAAUUCUAGACCCCCUCUGCAUUGGAGGAGGACUUGGAUUGCCUGCUCAUGAUCGGAGAUGACUGCUCCGACUACUACACUGAAGCUACCAGCAAGGAUCAUGCUACUACUACUUCAACUUCGCGAGGGCGCUCAGCGACCCGCCAAUGACUACUUCGACUACUCAUCUCGACUAGAAAACUAGUCGGGAGCGGGCCUCACACCGUCAAUAACUAGUCGGAAUCUACUCCGACUAGUCCGGCUUCAUCAACAGACCGCUGCAGCUCCACUGAUGACUGCCAUGGUUUCAUCGACAAUCAUCCACAAAUCAAGCUAAGUCACUUAUACCUUUUCCGACUUGUUCUUCAUAGGAUCAGCUACUAUUUUUGGUACGCCUCUCGACGGGAGUUACCCUUGGGGGGCUACACCAUGAUCGACUACUUCUAGGGUUUGCUGACUAACAGCGCACGCGCUUGGUACACCGAGUUGUGUCGGGCUCACAGCAGCUACCCUACGGGCAUGCGCGCUGCAACAUGCGCUCUCGCUGACUACUUUAUGCGCAACGCGCAUUCUCUUUGUCUCAUGCCAACUACUUUUUUCUGCAUUCAUUGUCUUCUCUUAACGGUUGCUAAAGUACUCAUGUAGCACACACCUUAAUCUGUGAAACCUUGACUCUUUUGUACGCCUAUGUUCCUACACGUGCACGUGAUCAGCUACCUGAGCUAUGGGCUCCGGCUAUCAGUGAUCAGGUGCUUAAACGUAAGAGGCUAACUACUCGGGGAAAUUACGUGGCCUGACAAGAGCAAGACGCAAUUUUUUUAUCAUGCAUUUUACAAUGCUAGGAUUCACUCCUGACUCGAUAUCAUGUAUAUCAGUUACAACAUAUUUUUAUGUUUAACUUGCAGGGGACCAGACCUGGACCAUGCGGCUGGGUGAGGUAUGCUCCCGAGAGCUGCCUUACUCGGCCAUCACUUCGUCGACACAGACCACUCGGAGUUGUGACAUUUCAGGUACUUAGGAGCUAGGCACACAAAUUUUUAGUAUGAAAUUGUGUGAAGUUUGUGUUCGUUUUGAUGAAUGCCUUUAAAAACAUAAAUACACGUUAAAGGGUAUUUUUGAAAUAUUGGAAAAAUUAGGGUACUGUAACAUUCAGGUAAUUAAGGGUAUAGACACUAGGUAUUAAUGUGAUAUAGGUAUGCUUGCUAUAAUACAUACAAGUUGUACAAAGAACUAGGGGUAUAUUUGUAAAUUAUGAAUUUUAUAGGUCCCUAUGUGUAAUUGUGUAAAAAUGCUAUUAAAUGUCAAAUUCAAAUGACCAUAGAGAAGAAAAGUACAAAUAUUAAGUUAAAACCUAAGAGAAAUAGACUUUGUAUGAAACUAAGAACCUAUGUGUAAUUAACACAAAGAUAUAAGGAUUUACAUGUGAAAUGGUGAAAAGAUAAAAGUAAAACUCAGAUUUACUUAAGGGUUAAAGUGUAAAAAGGUUAGUCAUGAUUACACUGCAUGCAAUUUGGCAAAAAGGCCCUAAACAUUAAAGCAUUUUGUUUGAAUUAUAACAAAAGCCUUACAAAUUGAGUUGGGUUCCAAAUUUUAAAAUAAAACUGUAUCCUUUAAGAUUUUGAACUUGAACCCUAAAGCAUUAUUGUAGGGUUUGAAAUUAUUUACAACUUUGCUUUAGACAUUUUUCUCACUAGGAUUUUGUAUCAAUGGGAAAUCUCUCUUUAUAGAGGGGUCCCUGGAAUUUUCUCAAAUUGCAAACAAGUCCUACUGACACCCGCUGCUGCUUCUUCCUCUGUCACCGCCGCUUCCCCCUCUGCUCCGCUCUGCCACCGCCGCUCACCGCCGGCGUAGUGCCCGAGCUCCACCUCCAGCUACUGCAUGUGCCCACGCGUCGCCCCCUACCUCCCCCACCUCUGCUCCCCUCCCUCCCUAGCGUCUUCUGCGCCUGCCACGCGCGCGCAACUGCCGCUCGGCCGCCACCAAGCCGCCGCCGUGGCAAGCCCCAAACCGAGCGCCCAGUCCUCGUGCUUGUGCGCGCUUGAGCACUACAACUACCCCGCGGAGCUAAUGGACGCAUUCUUUCCUUCCUUCUCCACUCCCACGCCUCGGAACGCCGCCGCCAUUGCCGCCCGAAUGCCGGCGAGCUCAAGCUCACCGUCGCCCCACCCCUCCACCGCUGCUCCGCCUGCACUGACCCCGCCUUCAGCUCCACCUCAUCCUCGCGCAGCUGCCCGGCCAAUCCCCUUCCCCGCACGGACUCCGGAGCGCCGCCGCACCGUUCUCCCCGGCCGCCGCCUCUGCCUUGCCGUGGACAGGCCCACACAGACCUCCCCGACCCCAUCCGAAACCUCCCGAAGGUCGCCCUCGACUUCCUCAUGCUGUUCCCCCUCUUCUCCCCCGCCGCCGGCGACGAGCCUCGCCGGAAUCGACGGUCAAAGAUGUUUCCCCCGCUCUGACUCCGGCCAGGGGCUACAUUGCAAGCAUUCAAAUUCUUCUAGGGUCCUUUAUGCAAAGUUUCAGUCCCUUCCUCUAUUUCAAAUCAGUGAAGUUCAAAAAUGUGUAGGAAAAUUGAGGGUGUUUCAGAGCUUGACUCCUAGCACGGAGAUUGAGGGUGUUUCAGAGCUUGACUCCGAGCACGGAGAUCCUGUUCUUAGUCCCUAUCACUCUCCCUCUGACAGUCAGUCUUCUGUAGGGAACUUCGAUGAUUUCUAGUUUCGUAAACCGUUGACUAGCUACAUGUAACUUGUGGGGAGUAUAAUAACUUAGGUAGUGUGUAACUUAGCUAGAUCUCAUGCCAUUUGUUGUAACAUAGAUGGCCUACGUAGGGAUCUUUCGGAUGUGUGAUGUGGAGAACGAUCAGAAUCAGUGUUGUAAUAUAAGUUUCCUGUUUUAUCAUCUUGUUCACUAUCCCUAUGAUUCUGAAAUGAGAUGAUUGAAUGGAGUGUAUGCAUUGUUUAUCUAAGUCGUAUAUCUUCUGAAAUUGGGGUAGCUAUAUGGUUAAUGAUGGACAUCUCCUUUGUUUCAGAUGGUUGGAGCCACGCGCGGAACCCCGGAAGGUUUCCGGGCAGAUCAGGCUAGCGGUUCUCAACAACCGCCACCGCCACCUCCUAAACUUGCCGAAGUUAUGGCUCCGCAAACCGAACUUCUCAACUUGCUGGUACAAGCACAACAGAACCAGCAACAUCAACAGUUCUGAGGAGGUCGUGAUUACCGCAAUCCUCCCGUGGCCAGUUAUCAGGAUUUCAUCAGUACCCAGCCUCCAUUUUCAGUAAGGCUGAAGAACCCUUGGAUGCCGAUGCUUGGCUCCAUAUCAUUGAAUCGAAGUUCGCUCAAUUGACAAUACCUUGUGCGGACUCAAGCAAAGCUUCCUUUGCCGCCCAGCAAUUCCGAGGUGCUGCUCAGAUCUGGUGGGAUAAUUUCUACGCCAUGCAGCCUGCAGGGCAUGUUAUCACCUCGGAUGAAUUUCGAGCAGCCUUUAGAGCACAUUAUAUUCCUGAAGGAUUGCUGGAGCGGAAGUUGAAUGAAUUUUUGGCAUUUACUCAAGGCACCAGUACAGUCCUGCAGUACGCACAGAACUUUAAUCAUCUGUGUCAAUAUGCGGGAUAUCAUGCGGAUAAUGAUGCCAAGAAACAAGAUCGUUUCCGUCGGGGCCUUAAUACCAAGCUCAAGGAACGCCUGAAUCUUGUGAGGGCUAACACUUUCAGCGAGCUGGUUAAUAUGGCUUUAACUCAAGAAGAUUGCAUCAUAGCACAUCAUGCUGAGAAGAAAAGAAAGACCCCUACUGGACCCUCGAGUGCUCAACCACCGAGGUAUCGGGUUGUUCCCAAUACACCGUUCAGAGCACCGCAGUGGAAUGCCCCAACUGGUAGAUUGGUUUUCAGGCCGCCCCAACAGCAAGGAAGGUACAGACCUCCUGCUCCUCUGCAACAACUACAACAAUCUGGCCCACGGCCAAAUGUCCAACAAGUGUCACAGAGAAGCAGCAAUUAUCGCUGUUUCAAUUGCGGAAGCGCGGAUCAGCGGCCCAAGAAACCUAAUCAAGGGCAGAGUUCUACUCAGGGUAACCAGAACAAGGGCAAGAAACCGGUAAUGCAAGUCCGGCAAGGGCGGAUUAAUUUCACCACUCUGGCAGAACUUCCCGAUGGAGCUUCCGUCAUGUCGGGUACAUUCUCUAUUCACCACAAACCAGUUGUUACAUUAUUUGAUUCAGGAGCAAUACAUAGUUUCAUUAGUAACAACUGUGGUACCCGGAUAGGACUUGAUCCUUGUUUUACUCAAGGGUCAUAUAUGAUCUCUACCCCUGGAGGAAAUAUCACUUCCAACCAAAUGAUUAAAAGUGUGCCAAUUCAGUUAGGUAGUAAAGAAAUCAAAACUGAUUUGGUUUUACUAAGUUUGGAGGGUAUUGAUAUUAUACUUGGGACAAACUGGAUGACUAAACAUCAAGUACGGUUAGAUAUUUCUUCCCGAGUUGUUGAAAUUGAUUCACCAUACUAUGGGAUCACCACCCUUUAUCUGCCUCAGCCAGAAUGUCUGCAUCCUUGCACUUAUGCCAUCACAAAUAUCCAAGUCAAGGAUAUUCCUAUAGUAUGUGAAUACCCCGAUGUCUUUCCAGACAACUUGCCUGGAAUGCCACCAGAUAGAGACAUCGAGUUUAUCAUUGAACUUCAACCGGGCACUGCUCCUAUUUCAAAGAGGCCGUAUCGCAUGCCUCCAAAUGAAUUAGCAGAACUAAAAAUCCAGCUCCAAGAUUGUCGGUACACACAGAUAGGGGUACCUCCUGCUAGGGUGUCCAGGCCCUUGGCUUCUCAUAAUCCAUGAACACCCCCUCACCUCUGAGUCACGUGGAAUACGGCCUCCGGGCCUGACUGCUGGGACCACGGUCUCCGGACCCUCCCCGGGCUCCAUAAGGUCCGGGGCCUCUGCACACCCAGGCGGGUGGGAGAGCCCUCGGGUAGCUCCUGCAGACCUGGCCUCCCCUGGGAGGUCCGGAGCCGCCACGUGUGAUGGCCAGACCAUCACAGGCCAGCCCGCUCCGACCAGCCACGGGGGCCUCGGACCCCCCUUUCCCCCGGGAAGGGGUCCGGUGCCGCCACGUGUUGCCCGGCGGGAGGAGCGGGGCUGGCCCCGCCGCGUGCCUACGGCCUGAGGCCCCUUACAGGUCGCCUCCUCACCUACCCGCAUUCAAUGCGGUAGCUGAGUCGGGCGCGCCAAAGUCGAAAGGUGCGGCCUGCCACUGACACACGGGGCAGGUAAGCUGACACCGCGGUAAGCCCGCCCGUUCUGAAGGCGGCGCGUCGUAUCACCGCGCACAGUACGCGGACUGUGUGCAGUCCCGUCACGGCGCUGCGCGCGUGAUGAUGGCCUGUAAUAGGCGAGCCAAGGCGUGCGCUGUAACAGUGCGCGCGUCACGGGACAGCUCCUUCUCGCCCUCUGACCGAAGGUCCCAUCCCAACAGUGACAGCACGGCUUCACUGUUGGGUAACGCUGACGCCGGACACUGUACAAGACAAGGCUGUACACGGCCAUAUCCUGGCUGUAGAUACGCACAUCAACUUCUCGAUCGAGAGGACUACGGAGAGGAGCUCGAGGAGAUGACCUCUAUAUCUCUCGUAGAACAGCUCCUAUUGGCCGGGCCCACCUGUCGGGGUCCCGCACAGUGUAAGCACUCCCCUUGCACUAUAAAAGGGAGAGUGUACUCGUUAGAAUACAGGGUUUUCAACAAUCGGCGGCUCACAUAGCCAAUACAACACCAAAGUGGACGUAGGGUAUUACGCUCCGGCGGCCCGAACCACUCUAAACCUUCGUGUCCUUCCUGUGUUCAUCUGUCCACCGAUCGAGCGCUCCUAAGUCCCCUCCAAACCCAUCCUUAACUAGGAUUAGGCGGGUGCUUUCCGCCACCCGGCUGGAGAAUUCCUCCGACAUUUGGCGCGCCAGGUAGGGGACUUAGGUUUGGAUUGCGCUCGGUCGACCUUCACGACCUCAAUGGCGCAGGAAAAUGGUCACCAUGACCUCGUGAUCGGUGAAGAAGUGGCGUCAACGGCGCCACACGCCUCGCGCCAUCCCGCCUCCAGAGUGGCCCCGCGUGCUGCUCCACCGUGUGCAGCGGAGCGGGCCUCUGUGGCCCAAUCGGUGCUCCCACCGAGCGGGCCCCUCAUGGCAGCCAGGGAGUUGCUCCGCAACCCCCCGGGCGAGGCAGCGUCGCCAGACGCGCACAGACAAUGGCGUGACGACGUCGACCGUCUCCUCAACCUGGCACAGGCUUCCCCAGGCUCUGCGGGGGGGUCUGUUUCCAGGCAGCGCCGUCGCCAGGGCGGUGCAUCCGGUUCUGUGCACUCACCGUCCGUGAGGAGUGCACGGACCGAAGACCUCCGGGCGGAGCUCAACCGCAGGCAUGCAGGAGAGGACGCCAGGGUCUCCAUCGAGCGGACGCGCAACCGACGACUCAAUAUUGAGGGUCGGAACCUUGCGCCCGAGCUCGAUGCGGCAGCGGCCAGGUCGCAGGGACUCCCCCAGGCACCGGUGUCGGGCGUGGGCUGCGCAGCGCUCGCAGGCCACCUCCGUGCAGUCGCCUGGCCGUCCAAGUUUCGGCCUUACCUGCCGGAAAAAUAUGACGGGUCCUCCAACCCGUCAGAGUUCCUGCAGGUCUACAUCACCGCCAUCACGGCGGCUGGAGGUAACGAAGCCGUCAUGGCAAGUUACUUUCAUGUAGCCUUGACCGGGCCAGCCCGGACCUGGCUCAUGAAUCUUACCCGAGGAACCAUCCAGUCCUGGGGUGAGCUCUGCGCGCAGUUCACUGCGAACUUCGCCAGCGCGUACCAGCAGCAUGGCGUGGAGGCCCACCUCCACGCCGUGAGGCAACAACCCGGGGAAACCCUCCGGGCUUUCAUUUCCCGCUUCACCAAGGUACGAGGAACUAUCCCACGUAUCUCCGAUGCAUCUAUUAUCACGGCCUUCCGACAGGGGGUCCGGGACGAGAAGAUGCUAGAGAAGCUGGCGACCCACCAGGUGGAAGCCGUCACCACCUUGUUCGCUCUGGCGGACAAAUGCGCCCGGGCUGCAGAAGGCCGUGCAUGGCACUCUGCAACCCAGGCAGGUCCCGCUCAGACGAGCGGACCCAGCGUCACUGCUCCUGGCAGCGGCAAGAAGAAGAACAAGAAGGUCCGUGGCUUCGACAAGUCACGGAUUGGGGGUCCGGCCGUUGCAGCUGCGACGACCGGGGGCCAGAACUCCCGUGGCAAGCGCCCGCGACAGCAGCGCACCGACCCCGGGUCAUGCCCUGUUCAUCCGGGGGCUCGCCACAGCGCCACCGAGUGUCGCGAGAUCCAGAAGCUCGCGGAGCGCCUCAGCAAGAGGCAAGACCAAGCCUCCAAGGAGGGCUCCUCCCCGCCGCGCCGGUCCGGAAAGGAGAAAGCCUCCGAUGCCGACGCAGCCGCGACGGAGAGAGAGUUGGGGUAUCAAGCCCCCAACAAAGACCUCAAAGGACUUUUCCAGCAGUCCGAUUCCGAGUCCGGAGGGGACGAGCGCCGCAAGAAGCUGUACGUUAUGUACGGCGGCAGUUCGGAGCUCGUCUCCCGGCGGGACGUCAAGGCCCUUCGUCGGGAGGUCCUCUCGGUGAAACCAGGGGUGCCGAGAGCGGCGCCCCAUCAGCGAUGGAAAGGCACCACCAUCUCCUUCGGGCCAUCUGAUUGCCCAGAGAACAUGGCGGGUGCGGGAGUGCUGCCGCUUGUUACAGCACCCACCAUCGCCAAUGUCCGCCUUCACCAUGUGCUGAUUGACGGAGGCGCCGGCCUCAGUGUCAUCAGCUAUGCAGCGUUCAAGCACCUGCAGAUCCCGGAGUCCAAGUUGGCUCCAUCGCGCCCAUUCUCAGGAGUGGGCCCGGAUCCCGUAUACCCGGUAGGGACCAUCACCCUACCGGUUACAUUCGGGACAGAGGACAACUUCCGUACCGAGAACGUGCAGUUCGAGGUUGCGGAAGUUAACCUCCCCUUCAACGCCAUCAUCGGCAGACCGGCUCUGUACCGGUUCAUGGCCGUUGCCCACUACGGGUACCUGGUCCUGAAGAUGCCUUCUCCGUCAGGCGUCCUCACCGUCCAGAGCGAUCGGGCCGCUGCCGUUGUGGCGGUCGAAAAGCUCCAUGCGCUGGCCACAGGACUCGCCCCUGUAGCAGGCGCCCAGGGGUCCGACCCCUCAACCUCGCGUGCCAAGGUUCCGGCCAAGGCGCCGAGGGUCUGCCCGUCCGACAGGGACAACGUUCCCGUGAAGACCAUCCAGGUCGGAGCGGAGGCCUCCCAGACCACCCGUAUCGGUGGCAACCUGGGAGAGAAAUAGGAAAGUGCGCUCAUCGCCUUCCUCCGGGCAAAUGUUGAUGUGUUCGCCUGGGAACCAUCACAAAUGCCCGGGAUCCCCAGGGAGGUGAUUGAGCAUCAUCUGAAGAUCCACCCCGACGCCAGGCCGGUCCGGCAGAAGCCACGCAAGCAGUCCAUCGAGCGGCAAAACUUCAUCCGCGAAGAGGUCCGCAAGCUGCUGCAGGCUGGCUUCAUCGAGGAGGUCUACCAUCCCGUGUGGUUGGCCAACCCGGUGGUGGUCCCAAAGGCCAACGGGAAGCUUCGGAUGUGCAUCGACUACACCAAUCUUAAUAAGGCAUGUCCAAAAGACCCUUAUCCACUCCCGCGUAUAGAUCAGAUUGUAGACUCCACCUCCGGGUGUGAUUUGCUGUCCUUCAUAGAUGCCUAUUCUGGUUUUUAUCAAAUCAAAAUGGCUAAGGAUGAUAGGAAGCACACAGCUUUUGUAACAGUGGAUGGGCUUUAUUGUUAUAUAGUGAUGCCUUAUGGAUUGCUCAAUGCUCUACCCACCUUUGCUCGUGCAAUGAAUAUCACUCUAGGUGAUUUGGUUAGAGAUAUUGUAGAGGUGUAUGUCGACGACAUCGUUGUCAAGACUAGAGAGUCGUGUUCUCUAUUAGAAAAUUUAGCUCGAGUCUUCGACAAGCUACGCGCGACCUCUACCAAGCUUAACCCCGAGAAGUGCGUCUUCGGCGUAUCGGCGGGAAAGCUCCUUGGAUUCCUGGUCUCCCACCGGGGGAUCGAGGCCAACCCGGAUAAGGUCCGGGCGAUCGAGGCAACGAGACCCCCGGUGCGCCUCAAGGAUGUGCAGAGGUUGACGGGAUCCCUUGCAGCCCUCAGCCGCUUCAUUUCGAGGCUGGCGGAGAGGGCGCUUCCCUUCUUCAAGUUGAUGAGGGGGUCCGGCCCAUCGUAUGGACCGAAGAGGCAGAACGUGCCUUCCAAGAGAUGAAGCAGUACCUUACCUCCUUGCCGGUCCUGGUCGCACCGGACCUAGGUGAGACACUGUUUCUUUACCUUGCAGCAACGACCGAAGUGAUCAGCAUGGUGCUGGUCGCCGAGAGGUCCGAGCUUCUCCCCCAGGGGACCUCCGUGGACCCUCCUGCAGAAGAGGGAGGUCCGGCCUCCCCCACUCCAGCAACCGGCCCUAUUUCCGAGGGUCCGGCCGGGUCCCGACCUGGAGAGGUGUUAAGCAGCUUGGGGGCCGACGGGACCACAGCUCAAGUUGAAGGAUCCAGUCCAACUGGCAGAGUCAGGACCGUCCAGAAGCCGGUCUACUACGUCAGUGAGGUCCUCCAUGAGGCAAAGGCCAGGUAUCCUGAGACACAUAAGCUCCUUUAUGCUAUACUUGUUGCGUCCAGGAAGCUCCGCCACUACUUUCAGGCCCACAAGGUUGUGGUGGUGACCUCCUACCCAUUGAGGGCCAUCCUCCACAACCCCAACGCCACGGGCAACAUCGCCAAGUGGGCAGCGGAGCUCGCUGGGUUCCAGCUCGACUUCCAGCCGCGUCACGCCAUUAAGAGUCAGAUCCUUGCUGACUUCAUCGCAGAAUGGACGCCCGCACCAAGCGUCUCCGGGGGUCCGGACCAAGGCACGGACCCCCCACGUCCGGAGGUUAGGGCUCCGGUCUUCACCGGACCUCACUGGACCCUUUUCUUUGACGGGUCCGCCCGCAGCAAGAGGGCCGGGGCGGGCGUAGUCCUCAUCGACCCACGUGGCGAGCAGUUAAAGUACAUGGUGCACCUCGAUUUUGAGGCCACCAAUAACAUGGCAGAGUAUGAGGCCUUGAUCUUUGGGCUCACGGCGGCUCUGUCCCUGGGGGUCCGGGAGCUCCUGGUCAAAGGGGACUCCCAACUCAUCAUCAGGCAAGUCCGUGGGGAGUGUUGCUGCAACAACCCCCAGCUCGCAGCCUACCUCAUCCAUGUGAAGAGGCUGGAGAAGGACUUCGAUGUGCUGGAACUGCAACACGUUCCACGCGAAGGCAAUUCAGCAGCUGAUGCCCUCUCCGCGAGCGCAUCGACUCAGGCACCCGUGCCUGAGGGCGUCUUCCAGAGGCGUCUGCUGAAGCCUUCCGCCCAGCCUGCCGAUCUAGGCGAGGGGGGUCGGACUAGCACCUUGAAGCUGGCGGUCCCGGCGGUGCUCCAUCCGUGGUACCCGCCAAGGGCCGUGUGCACCCUUGAGGGUCCCGAAGACCUCAGGGAGCCACGCCCAGUUUCUCAGGAAGGUCCCGAUGCAUGGAUCUCUAAGGUCCGGGACUACCUGAAGGAUAACUACCUUCCUGAAGAUCAAGCAUCUGUUGAGCGCAUUGUCCGGAUGGCUAAGCGAUACACGGUGGUAGAAGGGGAUCUUUAUCGCCGUGGCGCCAACGGCGUCCUCAUGCGGUGCAUCACCCAGGAAGAGGGCCGCGACUUGCUCGCGGAGAUCCAUGGAGGCGAGUGCGGAAGUCACUCUUCAUCCUGCACGCUGGUUGGUAAAGCCUUUCGGCAUGGUUUUUACUGGCCGACAACGCUCCAGGAUGCAGCUGACUUGGUAAGGUCCUGCAAAGCGUGUCAGUUCCACGCAAAGCAAAUACACACUCCAGCUCAGGCACUGCAGAUGAUUCCUCCCUCUUGGCUCUUUGCGGUAUGGGGGUUGGAUAUCUUGGGACCUUUCCCUAGGGCCGUCGGUGGGUACCGAUACCUCUAUGUCGCCAUUGACAAGUUCACCAAGUGGCCAGAGGCAACCCCAGUGGUCAACAUUACCAAGGCGUCGGCAACUGCUUUCCUCAGGUCAAUUGUGUGCCGGUUCGGGGUCCCGAACCGGGUCAUCACCGACAAUGGGACCCAGUUCACGAGCCAGUACUUCCAGGAGUACUGUGAGGAUAUGGGCAUCCAGCUCUGUUUUGCCUCAGUGGCACAUCCCAGGAGCAAUGGCCAAGUUGAGCGGGCCAACGCCGAAAUCCUCAGAGGGCUCAAGAUCCGAACCUACUGUGACCUUGAGAAGCAUGGCGCAAGGUGGAUAGAAGAGCUUCCGAGUGUGUUAUGGGGGAAUCGGACCACACCCAGCCGCGCAACAGGGGAAACCCCUUUCUUCCUGGUCUACGGGGCCGAAGCAUGCCUUCCCCCGGAGAUCACCAUGGGCUCUCUGCGAGUCCGGUCUUUUGAUGAAGAGAUGCAGGAACAGGAGCGUCGCCAAGACGUGGACCUCGUAGACGAGCGUAGAUGGCGAGCAGCAGUCCGCAACGCACGGUACAACCAAGCGCUCCGGCGCUACCACCAACGGUUCGUGCGAAGUAGGGAGCUCCGGGUUGGGGACCUAGUCCUAAGGCGAAUCUUGAACCGGGAGGGUAUGCAUAAGCUCUCCCCCAGCUGGGAGGGGCCCUUCAAGGUGACCAAGGUGUGCCGACCCGGAUCUGUUCGCCUGGCUGCGGAGGAUGGAAUGCAACUACCCAAUCCAUGGAACAUUGAGCACCUCCGUAAGUUCUAUCCCUAGGACCUGGUUGGGAGGAAAUUUUUCCUUUGUAAUUGGUAGCAUUGCCGUGCGGACCAGGGCGGUAGAGGUCCGCCCUCGUAAACCCGGCCCCUGGCGUACAUCGCACAGCUCUUCUGUACCGAUUCAUUUAAGGGGAAAUUUGUUCUCAAACGCGUCCUUGAACUCUAUGCGAUUCUAAGGUUUUUUCGCUUCUUGUUACGCUAACCCCCCACGUGGUUUUUCGCGUCUGUGUCGUGUCGAAGUUCCUACUUAGGUUGCUACACUAUGUCUCUGCCCGGGACCCCUGUCUCGCGGAAGAAAAGGAACUGGGCACCCGGGAACUGGCUUCAGGGAGGCGUGCUCGUUCUUUGCUGGGGUCCAGGGCUGUGUAGCCGCUUAGCCUGGUUCCGUACCCUAAGCCUACAUGCCCUGCCCCCCUAGGACGGGUAUCGUUGUACCUUGAACAAUGGACCCGGGGGCCGGGACCCUUUAGAUUCCCGAACUAUGGCUCCGGUGCCCUGACUCGUUACGCAUCGCAGUAGGCUUUUGCUGGCCGGACCGGUACCUCGUGGGGACGUCUUCUAAGCGUCGAUCUAAGUCAUGUGCAGGACCUCGGUUCUAUGGCAGCUAGUCCCGUCCUAUCGCGACUACCUCCCAGGGGGCCACACGGGACCUUGGUAUGCACAAGAACACCUUACAAACCGACAGCAGGAAAACAGCUAAGUUUCUCACAAAAAUUGCGUUGAAUAUGCACAAUAUUAUCUUACAAUAACAAAACUUGUAUUACAAAAGAAAUAACAAAAAGAUACUAGCACUACUGCUCUGGUGGUCCGGAGGCACUCCCACUCUCUGCAGGUUCAGGACGUCGCCGGAGGCGGGCCGCGAUCAGGUCCACUGCCUCCUGGACUCCUUCCCGCGCAGCGGCUGCCGUUGCCCGGAGGGGUCCGACCAGGACGGGAGUCAGCUGGACGGCAGGAUCAUGGCUUCGGAAGCUGGUGAGGAUGUACUCCGCCAUUCCCCGGGCAACCACUCGUCCCUCUGCCUCCAGGAGGUCCUGAAGGCCGGCCUCCGCAUCCUGUAGCCGCCUGGUGGUGGAGUCCAGCAGUUGGAGUGCGGCACCAAAUGGUGAAGGAGCCUCUGGUACCCAGAUGGGGUUGGCUCCGAGCGCUUCUAGCAGAGGGUUCACCGCACCAACCCAUCUUGUUAAUCGGUUGGCGCCGGCGCGCUGCUCUGCCAGGAGCCCCUCCACCUUGGCCUCCCUCUCCUGAAGCGCUGCCUCGCGCUCCUGGAGCCUCCGGUUCCCGGCUGCCAGCUCCUCCUCCACGGCCUCUUCCCGCUUCUGGAGCUCCUGCUGCCGGACCACCUCCUCUGCUUCUCGGGCGGCCAGCUCUUCUUCUUUCUUCGCUGCCGCCGCCGCCCGAUCCGCGAGGGCGGCCUGAUGCGCCUCGGCCGUGGCAAACGCCUCCCUCGCCGCGCCUAUCAGCUCCCGGGCGGCCCGCUCCGUCUCCGCCGCCGCCUCUUUCUGCCUCUCCACGGCAAUCAGCCCCUGGAGAGCCUCUGCUUCCCGCCGUGUGGCCGCCAACUCCCGCUGGCGCGCUGCUUCCUCCCGGUCGCGCGCCUGCUCCAGCUCCUCCCGCAGGAGCUCGCGCCCCGCCACGAGUUUGGCGCGCUCCUCGGCGUAGCGGGCGGAGACAGAGUUGAUGCGGCCCCCCAGGCGGACCUCCCAGUCGAAGAGCCGCUGGCGCUCCGCCUCCAGCUUCUCCCACUCCCGGCGCAUGCCAGCCUCUAGCUCCUGUUGAGCUUGCUGGCAUUUGGCUAUGAGCCGGGGGAGCGGGACCUCCGCUGUGCUCGGGAGGAGGAACCUUCCCAGCACCACCUCCGGUUCCUCCUCCUCUGCCGGUGGGUGGGUGCUGCUGGCAACUUCGGCGACCUCCGGAGCCGCUGCCUCUGCUGGCUCUGGAGCCGUCGCCUCUGUCGCCUCCGGUGCAGCCGCCUCUGCCGCCUCUGGUGCCGCGACCUCCACCACCUCCGCUGCCUCUGGCGCAGCAGCCUCCGCCGUGGCGGUGGCCCCCUCUGCUGCUAGGUCAGCUGGUGAGGGCCUGACCUCAACACCCGGCGCUGUCGCCGGUGCCUCGGUCGUCGCAGCUGACCUGGUGCCCUCCUCCUGGGGGGCAGCUCCGGGUCGUGGCGGUGUGGUGGCCUCCGGCUCCGGGCCCAUGGCUCCGGGGGCUUCUGGAGCUGUUCCAGGCGGGGGCCCUGCUGGGAGCGGCGCCGAGGGCCCCGAUGCUGGCUGGGGGCCGGAUCCCCCAGUGGGAGCAUCCGAAGACUGCGGCCUGCCGUAUCACCUGUAUGGUUAAGGGCCGGAAGCCAAGAAAGAAAAUGAAAAACCAUGACAAAACCACUUACGGGAAGUCGGACCACUCCCAUCUGCCCCGGGCUGCGGGGGGACUUUCCUCCCAGCCGAGGACCCCCCGGACCUUUGGUGGGUGUCCCUCGCCAGCGGAGUUGCUGGUGGCGGUGAUGGGGGUAGUAGAUUGGCCUCGGGCGGUGGUGGUGGCGUCGCCGGACGCCGUUCUGGUGGAGGAGGCUGACGUGUCUCCUCCGGAACCCUCUCCGGCUGCUGGCGUUGUGGCGCGGGUGGAGGAGCUCUGCUCUGCUCCUCUGCCCCCGCCGUCUUCUAGCGUUUCGGCGCCGGUUCCCCGACCAGGGAACCGUCGCCGCGCUGGAGCCUCCGGGACUUGCUCCCUUCGGCUUGGCUGCGCCGCUCAGGUGCCGCCCCCUGAGCCUCGUCGCUCCUUUGGGCCGGGGCAGCACCCGCACUAUCUUUCUGCCGGCGCUCUGGCGCCGGCACUUUCUCCUUUCCUUUCCCGCUGGGGGCCGGACCUCUGGGUCCCGGCUCCCCAGCACCUUCGCUGGGGUGAUGCUGGCGGUCCGGAGAGGCGCCAGGGAUCUGGAGCCCGCGGUUGGGGUCGCCUCCCAGUUGUCGGACCGCCAGGCCGCCCUCGUCCAGGGUCGGCAUCAACGACAGGACCGAUGACCGCAAUGCCUGGUCCUCGCACAGGGCCUUGACCCCGCUCGGGAGGACCAGGGACUCCGGGAUGAAUGCCUCGCCGGUCAUCGCCCGGACCGCUGCCUCCAGCUCCGCCCUGGUGAAGUCGCCGCCGGGCCCGCGUGCGAUCCUGCAGCAGUCGUUCAGCCCCGUGUACACGUAGGCCAUCCGGGACCGCUGCUGCAGGGGCGCGAUUCGCCGCUUCAAGAAGUCACCCAGCACCAUCAUAGAAGUCAGGCCACUCCUUGCCAGCUUCUUGAUCCGGUACAACACUGGGUCGAGCUCCGCCGGUAUUGUCGGCCUGGCCUUCCAGGUGCUCCGGUCGCUCUGGGGGCCCUCCGUUGGCAGCUCCAGGCGGUCAUGAGGCUCGUCAGCCACGAUGACCCAGCCUUCACGCCACUCCUCCCACUUGGAGCUGGAGAAAGCGGCGAUGUAGGAGCCCGCCAUCCCGUGCCGGAGCUGGAAGUAGUAAGCGCCGAUCUCGCCGCGCUUCUUCCCGGUCCCGACUAGGGAAUAGAAAUGUUUGAAGAUGGUGGUGCAGGGGCGCACCCCCACUCUCUGCAGGUUCAUCCCUCUCCCGAGGUGGGCCUGGGGGCCUCUGUCGGUACACACAGAUAGGGGUACCUCCUGCUAGGGUGUCCAGGCCCUUGGCUUCUCAUAAUCCAUGAACACCCCGUCACCUCUGAGUCACGUGGCAUACGGCCUCCGGGCCUGACUGCUGGGACCACGGUCUCCGGACCCUCCCCGGGCUCCAUAAGGUCCGGGGCCUCUGUACACCCAGGCGGGUGGGAGAGCCCUCGGGUAGCUCCUGCAGACCUGGCCUCCCCUGGGAGGUCCGGAGCCGCCACGUGUGAUGGCCAGACCAUCACAGGCCAGCCCGCUCCGACCAGCCACGGGGACCUCGGACCCCCCUUUCCCCAGGGAAGGGGUCCGGUGCCGCCACGUGUUGCCCGGCGGGAGGAGCGGGGCUGGCCCCGCCGCGUGCCUACGGCCUGAGGCCCCUUACGGGUCGCCUCCUCACCUACCCGCAUUCAAUGCGGUAGCUGAGUCGGGCGCGCCAAAGUCAAAAGGUGCGGCCUGCCACUGACACACGGGGCAGGUAAGCUGACACCGCGGUAAGCCCGCCCGUUCUGAAGGCGGCGCGUCGUAUCACCGCGCACAGUACGCGGACUGUGUGCAGUCCCGUCACGGCGCUGCGCGCGUGAUGAUGGCCUGUAAUAGGCGAGCCAAGGCGUGCGCUGUAACAGUGCACGCGUCACGGGACAGCUCCUUCUCGCCCUCUGACCGAAGGUCCCAUCCCAACAGUGACAGCACGGCUUCACUGUUGGGUAACGCUGACGCCGGACACUGUACAAGACAAGGCUGUACACGGCCAUAUCCUGGCUGUAGAUACGCACAUCAACUUCUCGAUCGAGAGGACUACGGAGAGGAGCUCGAGGAGAUGACCUCUAUAUCUCUCGUAGAACAGCUCCUAUUGGCCGGGCCCACCUGUCGGGGUCCCGCACGGUGUAAGCACUCCCCUUGCACUAUAAAAGGGAGAGUGUACUCGUUAGAAUACAGGGUUUUCAACAAUCGGCGGCUCACACAGCCAAUACAACACCAAAGUGGACGUAGGGUAUUACGCUCCGGCGGCCCGAACCACUCUAAACCUUCGUGUCCUUCCUGUGUUCAUCUGUCCACCGAUCGAGCGCUCCUAAGUCCCCUCCAAACCCAUCCUUAACUAGGAUUAGGCGGGUGCUUUCCGCCACCCGGCUGGAGAAUUCCUCCGACAAAGAUCUUCUUGAUAAGGGUUAUAUACGUCCAAGUGCUUCACCUUGGGGUUGUUCUGCUCUCUUUGUCAAAAAGAAAGACAAUAGCCUAAGGCUAUGUGUCGAUUACCAUCUACUCAAUGCGGUUACCAUCAAAAAUAAGUACCCUCUUCCCCGCAUUGACAUUUUGUUCGAUCAGCUAGCCGGAGCUAAGGCCUUCUCUAAGAUUGACUUACGCUCUGGUUAUCAUCAGAUCAAGAUUAGGCCUUGUGACAUUCCAAAAACGGCCUUCUCGAUCAGAUAUGGACUUUAUGAAUAUCUGGUUAUGUCAUUUGGACUCACUAAUGCACCGGCAUAUUUCAUGUAUCUCAUGAAUUCAGUAUUCAUGCCGGAACUCGACAAAUUUGUCGUGGUCUUCAUUGAUGACAUUCUAAUAUACUCCAAAACUAAAGAAGACCAUGCUAAUCAUUUAUGUGUCAUUCUUCAACGACUACAUGAUCAUCGCCUUUAUGCCAAAUUCUCGAAAUGUGAAUUCUGGCUAGAUAGUGUGAAAUUUUUGGGACACACUGUCUCUAGUAAAGGCAUAUCGGUUGAUCCAACCAAAGUCCAGGAGGUUAUGGACUGGAAACCUCCAACUUCAGUCCAUCAAAUCCGAAGUUUCCUUGGAUUGGCGGGAUAUUAUCGCCGAUUCAUUCCAGACUUCUCCAAGAUAGCCAAACCGAUGACUGAGCUACUUAAGAAAGAAGUUAAGUUCCGCUGGAAUGAUAAGUGUGAGGAAGCAUUUCACACCCUGAGAAAACUUCUGACGACUGCCCCAAUACUAGCUCAGCCGGAUAAUACUCAGCCUUUUGAUGUCUAUUGUGAUGCUUCUAGAAUUGGCCUUGGUUGUGUUCUUAUGCAAAACAACCGGGUUAUUGCUUAUGCAUCCCGAGCACUCCGGACUCAUGAGCAAAAUUAUCCAACACAUGAUCUUGAAUUGGCAGCAGUCAUCCAUGCUCUCAAGAUCUGGAGACAUCAUCUUAUGGGUGCUAAGUGUAAUAUCUACACUGACCAUCAAGGAACAUUAUGGUUCAACAAUCGAAUUGUUGUACCUAAAGAUCAUCAGCUUCGCAAGCAAAUCCUUGAUGAAGCACAUCUAUCCAAGUUCUCUGUUCAUCCUGGUAGCACCAAGAUGUAUCAAGAUCUACGGCAACAUUUUUGGUGGACCAGAAUGAAAAGAGAAAUUGCUAAAUAUGUAUCCGAGUGCGAUACGUGCCAGAGAGUCAAAGCCAAUCAUCUCAAGGCAUCUGGUACACUUCAGCCAUUACCCAUUCCAUCAUGGAAAUGGGAAGACAUUAGCAUGGAUUUUAUUGUCGGUCUUCCCAACACAUCUCAAAAGCAUGACUCCAUAUGGGUAAUCAUUGAUAGACUCACAAAAACAGCUCAUUUUUUUCCUGUGCAUACCACUUAUUCAACUAAGAAGUAUGCAGAGAUCUAUUUAGAUCAAAUCGUUCGAUUGCACGGUGUUCCUAAAACUAUCAUCUCUGAUAGAGGACCCCAGUUCAUUGCACGCUUCUGGGAACAGUUACAAUCAGCUCUUGGAUCCAAACUGAUACGAAGCUCUGCGUAUCAUCCUCAAACGGAUGGAUAGACUGAGCGAGUUAAUCAAAUUCUUGAAGACAUGCUCCGAGCUUGUAUUAUUCACUAUGGUACAAGUUGGGACAAGUGCCUUGCUCUAGCUGAAUUCUCUUACAAUAACAGUUAUCAAACUAGUCUUCAAAUGGCUCCUUUUGAAGCGUUAUACGGUCGCAGAUGUUGAACUCCUUUAAGUUGGUCUGAGACCGGUGAACGCAAAAUCUUCGGACCAGACCUAGUUGUUGAAGCCGAAGAUAAGGUUAAGGUUAUUCAAUCUAAUCUUAAAACUGCUCAGUCCAGAAAGAAAAGCUACGCAGAUAAGAGGAGGAAACCUCUGCAAUUUCAAGUAGGAGAUUUUUUCUAUCUCCGAGUAUCUCCUACCAAAGGUGUCCAACGUUUCGGCAUAAAAGGGAAGUUAGCACCUCGAUAUGUCAGACCCUUCGAAAUUCUCAAUGUUUGUGGCCCAGUGGCUUACAAACUUCGCCUUCUGUCUCAAUUGGCUGCUAUUCACGAUGUCUUCCGUGUCUCUCAACUUAAGAAGUGUGCCAAAGUACCCACGGAAAUCGUUGAGACAUGUGCCAUUGAGAUUGAACCCGAUCUAUCGUACAUCGAACAGCCUCUUAGAAUCUUGGAUACCAAGGAAAGGCUCACCAGAAAAAGGGCAGUUAAGAUGUAUAAAAUCUUGUGGGAUCAUCACACCGAAGAAGAAGCAACUUGGGAGACAGAAUCUUAUCUUCAACGAAAUUUUCCGAAUUUCCUUUAAGCCAAUCCUCAAAUCUAAUCGUCUGAUUCUAUUCAGCUUCGGAAUCUCGGGAUGAGAUUCUUUUUAGGUGGGAAGGCUGUAACAUUCAGGUAAUUAAGGGUAUAGACACUAGGUAUUAAUGUGAUAUAGGUAUGCUUGCUAUAAUACAUACAAGUUGUACAAAGAACUAGGGGUAUAUUUGUAAAUUAUGAAUUUUAUAAGUCCCUAUGUGUAAUUGUGUAAAAAUGCUAUUAAAUGUCAAAUUCAAAUGACCAUAGAGAAGAAAAGUACAAAUAUUAAGUUAAAACCUAAGAGAAAUAGACUUUGUAUGAAACUAAGGACCUAUGUGUAAUUAACACAAAGAUAUAAGGAUUUACAUGUGAAAUGGUGAAAAGAUAAAAGUAAAACUCAGAUUUACUUAAGGGUUAAAGUGUAAAAAGGUUAGUCAUGAUUACACUGCAUGCAAUUUGGCAAAAAGGCCCUAAACAUUAAAGCAUUUUGUUUGAAUUAUAACAAAAGCCUUACAAAUUGAGUUGGGUUCCAAAUUUUAAAAUAAAACUGUAUCCUUUGAGAUUUUGAACUUGAACACUAAAGCAUUAUUGUAGGGUUUGAAAUUCUUUACAACUUUGCUUUAGACAUUUUUCUCACUAGGAUUUUGUAUCAAUGGGAAAUCUCUCUUUACAGAGGGGUCCCUGGAAUUUUCUCAAAUUGCAAACAAGUCCUACUGACACCCGCUGCUGCUUCUUCCUCUGUCACCGCCACUUCCCCCUCUGCUUCGCUCUGCCACCGCCGCUCACUGCCGGCGCAGUGCCCGAGCUCCACCUCCAGCUACUGCAUGUGCCCACGCGUCGCCCCCUACCUCCCCCACCUUUGCUCCCCUCCCUCCCUGGCGUCUUCUGCGCUCGCCACGCGCGCGCCACCGCCUCUCGGCCGCCACCGAGCCGCCGUGGCAAACCCCAAACCGAGCGCCCAGUCCUCGUGCUUGUGCGCGCUUGAGCACUACAACUACCCCGCGGAGCUAAUGGACGCAUUCUUUCCUUCCUUCUCCACUCCCACGCCUCGGAACGCCGCCGCCAUUGCCGCCCGAAUGCCGGCGAGCUCAAGCUCACCGUCGCCCCACCCCUCCACCGCUGCUCCGCAUGCACUGACCCCGCCUUCAGCUCCACCUCAUCCUCGCGCAGCUGCCCGGCCAAUCCCCUUCCCCGCGCGGACACCGGAGCGCCGCCGCGCCGUUCUCCCCGGCCGCCGCCUCUGCCUCGCCGUGGACAGGCCCUCACAGACCUCCCCGACCCCAUCCGAAACCUCCCGAAGGUCGCCCUCGACUUCCUCAUGCUGUUCCCCCUCUUCUCCCCCGCCGCCGGCGACGAGCCUCGCCGGAAUCGACGGUCAAAGAUGUUUCCCCCGCUCUGAUUCCGGCCAGGGGCUACAUUGCAAGCAUUCAAAUUCUUCUAGGGUCCUUUAUGCAAAGUUUCAGUCCCUUCCUCUAUUUCAAAUCAGUGAAGUUCAAAAAUGUGUAGGAAAAUACCAAACUUGUUGGGUUAGAAUCCUUGUGAGGAAUUCUACAACUUUUAUUUCAUGAUCAUGCUAUGAAAAUGCAUAGUUUGUUCUGUAUUUUAAAUACAAGUAAAGGGAUGCUUUAAUUGAAUGUUGUGAUCUAUAGCCUUGCUGCUGUUGAUUUUUGGAGCAUGUGUUGCAUAUGAUUUGAGUAGCCUUGUGUAAAUUUUUGAGGCUUAGAUCAGCCCUCUAGCUAGAGUAUUUUGUUACCUUUGUUAUAUGUUAAUAAAAUCUUGACAAGUUUAUUACAAAAGCAUCUGUGCAUAUUUAUGGAUAAAAUUUCUACCAUAACUUGACCUUUAAAAGUGUGAUUCAUCAUAAAAAUUUGAGAAUCAUAAACCUAAUAUAACUUGAGUUAUAAGUUUCAAGCUUAAAUUCAAAGGUAAUUCAUAAAUAAUAAUUAUUAUGCAUGAAAAAUUAUGAAACUUUUCUGGAAUACCAAUCUUGAGUAGUUCAUGAUGUCCUUCAAUUUUGAACCCUAGUGUUAGUGUAAAACUCCAGUUAUAAUUGCAUCUUGAAAUCUCAAUUUUGAUCUUAUUUAAUUUUGUGGCUUAGUUCCUUUUAGAAUAAAAUUCCAAUAAAACUGCAGUAAAUGUAUCUAAUAUCAAUCUAUGCUCAGUAAUUUUUGUAGCUCCUGUUUUUAAGUAUCUUGCUCUGUAAAAUUCAUUCAAGUUAUCUAUGUAGUUUACUUAAGUUAACUAUUGUGAUUUAGUUAUUGCACUAAAUAUUCUGAAAAUAUUUUAGGGUACUGUUCUUUAAUAGUAUAACCUGUUAUUAGAUUUCCAACCAAAGAUUUGGUGUCAAACAAAUUGGACAUAGUUUAAUUAGUCCAUAAUGUAAUAGUAACAUAAGUUUCAUAUAAAUAAUUAAUAUAACAAAUAACUAAAGUUAUUUAAUAUAAUUAUUAGAAACACACCCCAACCUGUUAUCCUAUGCCACUAGUUAGAUAAUUAGUGUAAUCAACCCUGAUGUUUAAUGGGUUUAGAUAAAAUAAGUAAUACUCAAUAAAUGACUGCCCAGUGCAGGGUAGUUAGGUUAUUUGUCGGAAUGAAAUAUUCUUUCAUUUGGAUUGCAACUUUAUUGUGAAUUAAAUUAAAAGUAUAUGCAUCCCAUAAUUUAUACUUUUGCACGUCAUGUAGACUCGACCACUCUCGCCGACGGAGAUUACCAGCUAAUCCGGGAACCAGAAGGAGUUUGUUCUGAAGACCCCAGGAACCUCGUCGCGGAAUUCUCUGAAGCCCCGAACCAAGGUUCGGAAGAUAUUAACUUGACUGACCCCAGCCCCACCAGCGAAGGCAAGCCCCGGACAUAACCCUUACUUUAUUUAUACUGCGAACUAUAUUAUUUAUAUAUAUCUUUAUGCAUUAAGUUCUUAGGAAUUGUCUGGAACCCUAGUUGCAUAAUUCCAAGAACCAAUGUAUUGAACCCUAGAACUUGAGUCCGACUAGCUGCUAUGCUUAUAGGACCGGUAGAAGUCGGGUGAUUUCCUGUCACUCGCGCAAUAUAGGAAUUGUAAUGUUUACGUUCAUGUUAUUCACUAUAAGGAUGACGGACGGGAAUUUCAUGGAGUAUCAUGUUUGAGAUGAUACCCCGUCUGUGUUGAUUGAACUGGAUAAGGCCGCAGUGUGUGGUAGCGGUGGUUAAGCGUUUGAAAGUACUAGCCACAUGCCGCGAAAUAUGGUAAGCGGUAAGCCUAGUAACCAAUCGGCCCGAGGAGUGGACAUACCCCCCACCACAUGUAUUUGCUUCUUUUGAUUACUUGGUUCGACGUGUAGGAAUACGUGUUGCUGGGCAACCAGGAGUACGGGUUUUGUAGUCGCGCUACAGACGUACAUCCUGCACUUUAGAAGUGCGUAUGGUCCUGCAGUCGCUUGUGGUGGAUCUGAUCCACGAGUCGGAAUGAAAGGCAAACGGUUGCUUCGGAACGACCCUUUGGUGUUCCAAGCGUGUGUGUUAGGUUUACCCUUGC
This 48689-nucleotide long non-coding RNA is filed under the name Panicum hallii. Its description in RNAcentral is "long non-coding RNA (PHAL_LNC000537)". The record is from RNAcentral. Lineage: Eukaryota; Viridiplantae; Streptophyta; Magnoliopsida; Poales; Poaceae.